This 51963-nucleotide long non-coding RNA is filed under the name Triticum aestivum (bread wheat). Its description in RNAcentral is "long non-coding RNA (TAES_LNC023380)". Lineage: Eukaryota; Viridiplantae; Streptophyta; Magnoliopsida; Poales; Poaceae. The record is from RNAcentral.
ACCCUCCUCGGCCACAAAGAUUCCUUCCGUGGCUAGCACCUUCAUGAGGCGUGACAAGUAGGGCUGUUUGCUUGGAGGGAGGGGGAGGGUGGCAAGCAGGUCGGGCAAGGAGGCGCUGCCACCACAACGGUGGAGAGCAUCAGCAACUCCAAGCUUGACAGCACUGUGCAAUGCCAUGGACUUGAGGUAGCCCAGGGAGUGGCGCACGAGGUCGGCCUCAGCUUGCAUAAGCUCGGCGCUGCUUGCCAUGGCCAUUUCGUUAAUUGGUUUUUGCCUAAGGGGAUCGAUGAAAACUUGGAUGAGUAUUCAAUCUCAUAAAGGUAGGAUUUAUAGGCCCGCUGCCAGCAGCCAUCUGAAAGAAUUGUAGCUUUCCUCCCACAUAUUUUUUAACCCAUUGGCUGCACCUAUCAGAUGUAUACAAUUUAAUUUUAAGAAGUUAGGCUGGUGGCAUCGAAUGUACUCUAGAUAAUAUUUGUGAGGAAGAAAAUAUCGUUUUUUUUUCAAGAAAGAGUCCAGACAACAGUCCAUCCAUUCACUAUGCUCGAGACAAUAUCAUUUUCUGAAACUAAGUCGAUCGAAGAAAACAGCCGAUCUAUCAAGCCACUCUGAACAUAAGACAAGAGAAGGGCAUAUGUAUGUAUUGCUUUAUUGUAGAUACUAUACAUGCAGAUCAUCUAGCCGAUGAGCUAGUGAGGUCAUAGAAGCCGUGCGUAAAGAAAGGCAAAGGCGGGUAGAUGCGCAGGCUCUAUAGCACAACAUCAUCCAGGCUCUCGAGCACUUUUAUUUCUAAAAGUGGGAUAGCACCAACAAAACAGAAAGGAUAAAGAUAGGUAGAUGGUUAAACGUAAGAAAUGAAACAUCUAACCUAUAGAUGGCCCAAUCGCUAAAGUCCAGGAGAACCUCUCUAAUACUAUACGUAAUACAUAAGAAUCGAUUAACCAAAAUAGUGGUGUGCCUGUAGAGUGUGGAUGAGGACUGCAACAAGAUCAUAGUAAAGACAAUAUCCUUCAAGGGUGUAAUGGUUUUUUUAUAUUAAAAGCAAUUCUGUGACAUAAAAAAAUGGACCAACAAAACACUACAGCCCAACAUGACUGAGUGGUUUCAAAGCUUGAUCAAUUCAAGUAAGAUUCUCCACAUACAUUUUAAAUACUAGUGGCGGCUAGGAUAUUAUAAGCGGUGCCACAAUAUUAUAAGCUAUGUUGACCAGAUAUUAUGAUUUUUAUUAUUAAAAGGCAAUUCUCGAACAAAUGCUUGAUGGUCUCACUAGAGUCGUAAGAAAAACAUUUUCUAGAUCCUUUCCAAUUGCAACUUAUUAGAUUGUCCUUCAUUAGUGGCGCACCCUGCCUUACAUACUAAAGGAAAUUUUAACCUUACUUGGGAUUUUCAACUAAUAUAUGAAUUUACUAUGACAUCUAAGAGAAGACUCUACACCGGUCUUGUACUUGAACCGUAUAGAUAACUGCUAACUGUUUUCGGUUUGCAACAAAAGGUGUCACAACCUCUGAUAAUUGAACCCGUGAUAACUGCUAACUGUUUUCGGUUUGCAACAAAAGGUGUCACAACCUCCGAUCAGGCACUACUUUGUUGUCUUAGGUUAUGGACCUCCCUAGCUCAAUGAGUGGCAGAUUUAUCUCAAGGACCUGAACCAGCAUGAAAUUAGAUUAGCAGGCAACAAUAAUUGUAAAUAAUCGCGUAAUGGGCAUUGAAAGGUUUGUUCCGUAGCGAAUUCUUUCCUAGAACCAUGUCUUCACUCAACUAAGAACCUUGGGACGGACCAUGCUUAUAAAAUUUCCUAACUUCAAUUGCCCCAUGCCAAUUUCUCCUUGGCCACCUAGUUUUUCCUAUCCACCAAAGGCUAGUUUACACCCAAUAGCUAGAAUAUUUUGGCUGGUUCCAUAUUUUGGUGCCUUUGUUUGAACCGCAUCCUGUAGUCUACCAUCACGCGUGUGUAGACUAACAACCCAUGUGCCUUUAAAAUUCACGGGUAAUAGCUACUGCAGUCAUCCACAUGGCCAUGUGUCUGAACGGUUGCAUGAUGAUCAACUGCUCUCAAGCAUGAUUCUUCGUUGAACGGGGCAACUUCAUGGGAUCUUUUGUCAAACUCCUUUUUCUCAAUGUUUUUUUAAAAACAACCUUGCCUAAUUUAUACGCCUGCUACUAGCAGCCGUGGAUGCAGCCAUGUGCAUCACACGAGUACUUCUUUGUAACGUCGUUCUCUCACAUUGUCUCAACGAUUGGGAGGAGGUACCAGAUGUAUACAAGUAAAUUUUAUAUGAAACACCACACGUUCAUUCAUUAGGGUCACACGUAUUGAUAGCUCAGCAUGGUCUGAUUGUGCGCAUCUCAUGUCAAGGUUGGCCGCAGAUUAUUAGUUAUUACAGGUCAUCAGUUGUAAUUAGACUAAUCUUUCAUUCAGUCAAAAUGUUUAGCCGCCCUUGUGUGAUCAUCACAUAAAUUAAUUGUCCGGAUUUUCUGACUUGUGCGUAUGCAGAUAAGGUCCAAGGUGGGAAAUUGGUUUACAUAAUAUAUGUGUUGAUCACCUUCAUUAUUGUUUUGGAUUCACUUACACCUUAAUUACGUACAUGUCACCAUUACUUAAUUACCACAUGUGUAGACUAACAGCCCAUGUGCCUUUGUAAUUCCCCGGUAAUAGCUACCGUAGUCACCCACAUGGCAUGUGGCUGUAAGGGUGCAUGAUGACCAGUAGCUAUUCGUUGAACCAGACAACUUGAUGGGCUGUUUUUUCCUCCUUUUUCUUAGCAGGAGUAUCGCCAUUGUAUUUAAUUAUGCGAUUAUAUUAUUUUAUAUAUCAAUAUUUGAGCUAUUUGUCCACAUAAAAGUGACUAAUAAUAUAGAAGAGAGCAGACGAUAUGUCGACAAUUGCCCGAGUUCCUAAAAGCAUUUACCGUGUGCGUAUAAUCCGUUCCUUGAUGUGCAGCUUCCCUCACGACUAUGCGAGAAAAGUUUGUAGCUGCUCAAACUGUGGAAAAUUAAUUUGCACACAAACACCAUUUUUCUAUUAUUUUCUAAAAAUAGCAUUGCCUAAUUUAUAUGCAUGCUACUGGCAAUGAUGGAUAUAGCGAUGUGCAUCGCAUGAGGACUUCUUUGUAGCAUCCCUCUAUCACUUUGUCUCAACCAUUGGCAGGAGGUACUAGAUAUAUACAAGUAAAUGUAAUAUGAAACAACACACAUUCAUUCAUAAGGGUGACACAUAUUGAUAGGUCAGCAUGGUGUGAUUGUGCACAUCUCUUGUAAAGGUUGGCUGUGGAUUAUUAAUUAUUACAGAUCUUCACUAGCUUGUAAUUAGAUUCAUCUAUUGUUCAGUCAAAACGUUUAACUGCCCUGGUGUGAUCAUCACAUAAAUUAAUUGUACGGAUUUGCUGACUUGUGCAUAUGCAUAUAAGGUUUGAGGUGGGAGAUUGGUUUACAUAAUAUGUGUGUUGAUCACAUUCAUUAUUGUUCAGGAUUCGCUUAGACGCUAAUUACGUACAUGUCCACCUCAUGUCCUCAACCAUUAUUUAAGUAUUUCAGAAGACAAUUAGUUAGCUGGGACACAUACUGGAUUAACUCGCUGCUCGCGUCUCUAUCAUUCUAAAUGGGGCGACACAUAUGUACGUGGCGAAGACCAAGACUUACGAGCUCCGCAUCAAUUUCAUGUUUGAUCUGCCCACCCUCAUCUCUUGCAGUUCAUAUGUGCAGCGAAAACUUGGUACCUCCUUCCUCUGAAUAGAUGCCUCCAAAACAUGAGCAGCCAUCUGCCUAUGCACGUGUGUAAGUAAAGUAUGCAUGCGCAUGAACCACUGAUUUUCCAUUGAACAGUUGUGCAUACCAAUUUUACUUUGUUAUCAUCCCAUCAGGCUAGUGUAUUGUCGUAAUACUGAAAUCAUUUUCUGAAACUAAGUCGAUCGAAGAAAACAGCCGAUCUAUCAAGCCACUCUGAACAUAAGACAAGAGAAGUGCAUAUGUACGUAUUCCUUUAUUGUAGAUACUAUACAUGCCAAUCAUCCAGGCCAUGAGCCAGUGAGGUCAUGGAUGCCGUGCGUGAAGAAAGGCAAAGCCGGGUGGAUGCGCAGGCUCUCUAGCACGACAACAUCCAGGCUCUCGAGCACUAUGGCACUUAGGCAAGGCAUGCCGCAGAUGCCCUUCUUGGAUGCCGUGGUAGGCAGGACGGCGCGGAGGUGUCUUUUGGCCUUUGUUUAAAAACACACAAAACCUAUAGUUUAUUUCUAAAAGUGGGUUAGCACCAACAAGACAGAAGGGAUAAAGAUAGGUAGAUGGUUAAAUGUAAGCAGUGAAACAUCUAAGAUAUAGAUGGCCCAAUUGCUAAAGUUCAGGAUAACCUCUCUAAUACUAUAUGUAAUACAUAAGAAUCGAUUGACCAAAAUAGUUGUGUGCCUGUAGAGUGUGGAUGAGGACUGGAACAAGAUCAUAGUAAAGACAAUAUCCUUCAAGGGUGUAAUGGUUUUUUAUAUUAAAAGAAAUUCCGUGACAUAAAAAAUGAACCAACAAAACAGUACAGGCCAACAUGACUGAGUGGUUUCAAAGCUUGAUCAAUUCAAGUAAGAUUGGCCCCAUACAUUUUAAAUACUAGUGGCGGCUAGGAUAUUAUAAGCGGUGCCACAAUAUUAUAAGCUAUCCUGACUGGAUACUAUGAUUUUUAUUUUGAGAAGGCCAUUCACUACUAGGGAAAACCUUAUACACAGAAUGUUACCAGUAGCGCUGUACAAAAUCAAACGCUACUGCUACUUAGUAGCAGCGCGCGUAAAUAAACCGUGCUACUGCUAUGACUUUAGUAGUAGCGCGUACAAGCGAAAUGCACUGCUGCUAUGUUUGAACUGGGCGCACAUGGCUAGCCCAACCUAGCAGUAGCGCGUAUACUGGCCCAGCGCUACUGCUACUCUCCUUAGCUGUAGCGCACUUACGUGUAAGGCAUUGCUGCUAACGGAAAUAAAAUAAAGUGAAAAACAAAUAGAAAAGUAAAUGAAAAUAAAAGAAAGAAAAAAAAUAAAAUGUAAAUAAAAAUAAAAGAAAAAAGGAAAAAAAGGAGAAAGGAAUAGCAGUAGCGGGGUUCAGGAAACGCGCUGUAGCUAACUUAGCUAUAGCGCGUUUCGGAAACGCGCUACCGUUACGUUUCACUUAAACAGCGGUCCCCCCCCCGCCCCCCGGCCACCACACUUCUUCCCCAAAUCCCUCGCCCUCGCCGCCGUCUCCCCAAUUUGCCGUCACCCCACUUCGCCGCCGUCUCCUGCCGGCAUGGACGCCCGCAACCUCACUGUCUCCCCCCGAGGCCGCCGUCAUCCUCACCGCCGCCGCCCGAGGCCGCCCUCGACGUCACCGUCGGCGCCCUCUACCUCACCGCCGCCCGAGCCCGUCCUGGACCGCCAUUGCCCGUGCCCGAGCCCGCCCUCUCCGCCCCUGCCUCCGUCACCGAGCACCUCCCCGCCACCGUCUCUCCACUCUCUGUAAGUCCCCCACCCCUCCCCCCGACUCCUCUCUCUCUGCAUUUUAGAGAAAAAAAUAGUAGAGAAAAAGUUUGUUUAUAGCAAAAAAUUUAGUUUAGAGCAAAGGAUGUUAAGUAGUAGAUGUUAGAGCAAAAAUUAGUUUAGAGCAAAAAAUUUGGUUUACAACAAAAGUUAGUUAGGGCAGUAGGGUUUAAUUAGGGUAGAUGUUGCUUGUAUAGUAUAUAGUGAUACUAGUAGAUGUUAAUUAGGUUAGGGCAAUAGUGGUACUAGUAGAUGUUAAUUAGAUGUUUUUCAGUUAGGACACUAGAGUUUUGCUAGGUUAAUUAGGUUAGUAGUACUGCUAGUAGUAGUGGUACAGUAGGUUAAUUAGGUGAUGUUAACUGAAUAACCUAAAUGAAUGAAAUUAGUAGUUAACUGAAAAAAAAUUCCUUUCAUCAUUAUAGAGCACUAAAGUUAAAUGAAUUUUCUUCUACACUUUGUUUUUUAAUUAGCUUGUGAAAUUGGGACAUGUGGUUGCUCGUGUAUAUUUGGACGUGUGUUGCGGUGUCGAAGAGGGAUAUUUGAACACUGUUUCCAGGGAAUGAUGCUGAGUGGCCUAUAUUUUGCCGGAAUGUUGAUUCAUUUCUGUUCCUGCAAAUUUCAGGUUCUCGAUUUGUCCACUUUUUAGCUAAGGUCAUGCCGAAAUUUUCCGUGAAUUUCGGCAUGACUUGUGCUACAAACUAGGACAUAUCGAGUGCCCGGGAUUUGCCGCACCAGGAAGGAGUCAACAUUCCUGCAAAACAAUAGGCCUUUUUAUGUCAUUAUUCAUUUUAUUAGGUCUAGAAUUAAUUGACUAGAUUUAAUCAUAGGAAACAUGGCUAGCAACGAUGAAGGACAGGGUUCUGGUGAUUGCGUCGACGUCUACCGGGUGGCAGACGAAUUUUCUAACCUUACCGACAAUCAACCGAUGUUGUUGUUGGGCCCAUCGGUGGCAUCGGGGACUGAGACCGACAAGCAGACCGGUGCUGAGACUGAGACCGGCGCUGAGACUCAGACCGGCAUCGAGACCGGCGCUGAGACUCAGACCGGUGCUGCCUCGGGGAGCAGAGCCGGUGUAGAACCAAAAGAAAAGAGGCAACGGCUUCCUAACAAACUCAGGACUACUAGACUGGUGGUCACGGAGUUGGACGACGGCAUUUUUGAGCCAAAGGCGCCCGAGGAAGCGCGUCGAUGCUACGGCAAUCAAAUAGGCUGCAUCAUACGGACAACCGCCACCAUCAAUGAUGAGAAACUACAGAAGAUAGAAAAUAUGAGGAGCUCCCUCCUAAAGAAGUUUCACCAGAUAUUCUUGUUCCCGGGCCGGAAUGAGAAGGAUUAUGAAGAUCCAGACGAGGACCCGCCAAUGAAGAAGAUAAACAAACACACCAUGACUGUAGGACCUUGAAGUAUGUCUAGAGGGGGGGCUGAUUAGACUACUUGACCAAUUAAAAACCUAACCUAUUCCCAAUUUUAGAGUUUCGCAAAUUUUAACAAUCUUUGGACAAGUCAAGCAAUCAACACACAAAUCAAGCAAGCAUGCAAAGAGUAUAUAGGCAGCGGAAAUUAAAGCAUGCAACUUGCAAGAAAGUAAAGGGAAGGGUUUGGAGGAUUCAAACGCAGUUGGAGACAUGGAUGUUUUUGGCGUGGUUCCGAUAGGUGGUGCUAUCGUACAUCCACGUUGAUGGAGACUUCAACCCACGAAGGGUAACGGUUGCGCGAGUCCACGGAGGUCUCCACCCAAGAAGGGUCCACGAAGAAGCAACGUUGUCUAUCCCACCAUGGCCGUCGCCCACGAAGGACUUUCCUCACUAGCGGUAGAUCUUCACGAAGUAGGCGAUCUCCUUGCCCUUACAAACUCCUUGGUUCAACUCCACAAUCUUUGUCGGAGGCUCCCAAGUGACACCUAGCAAAUCUAGGAGACACCACUCUCCAAGAAGUAACAAAUGGUGCGUUGAUGAUGAACUCCUUGCUCUUGUGCUUCAAAUGAUAGUCUCCCCAACACUCAACUCUCUCUCAUAGGAUUUGGAUCUGGUGGAAAGAAGAUUUGAGUGGAAAGCAACUUGGGGAAGGCUAGAGAUCAAGAUUCAUAUGGUAGGAAUGGAAUAUCUUGGCCUCAACACGUGAGUAGGUAGUUCUCUCUCAGAACUGGUAAGUUGGAAGUGUAGGUUUGUUCUGAUGGCUCUCUCCAUGAAUGAAGAGGAGGUGGACGGGUAUAUAUAGCCUCCACACAAAAUCUAACCGUUACACACAAUUUACCAAUCUCGGUGGGACUGAAUUAACAAACUCGGUCAGACCGAUUUAGUAAACCUAGUGACCGUUAGGAUUUUCGGUGGGACCGAAAUGCAACUCGGUAGGACCGAUAUGGUUAGGGUUAGGGCAUAACGUAAUCUCGGUGAGACCGAUUACACAAACUCGGUGAGACCGAUUUUGGUAAUUAGCUAACCAGAGAGUUGGUCAGGUAAACUCGGUGGGACCGAUUUGCUCUUUUCAGUGAGACCGAAAUGUUACAAAAGGGAAACAGAGAGUUUACAUUGCAAUCUCGAUGGGACCGAUCGCUCACUUCGGUUAGACCGAAAUGUUACAAAGGGAAACAGAGAGAUUACAAUCCCAUCUUGGUGAGACCGAGAUCCCUAUCGGUGAGACCGUUUUGCCUAGGGUUUGUGGCAGUGGCUAUGACAUUUGAACUCGGUGGCGCCGGAUAGAAACAAUCGGUGUGACCGAUUUUGGCUUUAGGUUUAGGUCAUAUGUGGAUGUGAGAAAGUAGUUGAGGGUUUUGGAGCAUAUCACUAAGCACAUGAAGCAAGAGGCUCAUUAAGCAUCACCUCAUCACUCCUUGAUAGUAUUGGCUUUUCCUAUAGACUCAAUGUGAUCUUGGAUCACUGAAAUAUAAAAUAAGAGUCUUGAGCUUUUGAGCUUGAGCCAAUCCUUUGUCCUUGAUAUUUUGAGGGAUCCACUUUCAUCAUCCAUGCCAUGCCAUUCAUUGAGCUUUCCUGAAAUAAUAGUCUUGGAAUAGCAUUAGCUCAAUGAGCUAUAUGUUGUUAUGAAUUACCAAAACCACCUAGGGAUAGUUGCACUUUCAAUCUCCCCCUUUUUGGUAAUUGAUGACAACAUAUAGAUCAAAGCUUUGACACAUGAUAAUAAGAUUGAAAAAAAUCGUCGCUUUGAGAAGUAUGUGAUAUGCAAGAGCUCCCCCUAAAUUUGUGCAUAGUUUAAGAUUUGCUUUGGACUGCAAAUGCACAAGGAAUUAGGCUCAUGGGUUACUCUUCCAUGUCACAUACAUCUUGGUGGAGCGCUCAAAAUAAUAAAGAUUAAAUACAUGCACUCAUCGUCAAGCAAAGUGAAUGAUCAUAUAAGGAUAGGUAAGAUAAUAACAUAUAAUCAAGCAUAAGUGUAGCUUAUGAUCAAACACAUGAUCAUCAAUGUCUCACAGGUAAUGCAUUGUAUCUCAAGCAAUCAAGAAGCAAACAAGUUUAACCAAGAAGACAAGAGAGAACAAAAAAAACAGCAAAUCUCUCUCUCGAAGCCUAUGAUCUAUAAAAUUUUCUCCCCCUUUGGCAACAAGUUACCAAAAAGUUUGAAAAAAUGCAUAGUGCUAGAUCGUCUCUCAGGCUUGGUCUUCAGGUGGUGGAGGUGUACGGAUGACUCCAAGAAUGAAGGCUUCAGUCGAUGUAGAGGGAGCUGGAGGAGUUGGUGCUGGAGCUGGUUGCACUUGAGCUGUAGCUGGUGCAGAUGAUGUGGCUCUUGUGUCUAUCACAGGCACUGCAGCUGAUCUUUGAGCUCUAGGCACUCUGGCAAAUGCAUCUGUGGUUGUCUUGCCCUUCCUCUCCUGCAUGUCAUCCUGAAGCUGUUCCACAACUGACUGAAUCUCAGUUACUUUGACAUCAAGAUCAUAGAUUUUUUGUUCCAUAAUCCUUUCCAGGCUCUCCUGGUUUUGAGUUAGGGUGGCCAACCCCUUCUCAAUCCUCAGUGUUGAUGCUAUCAAGUAACCAAGCUGAUCCUGCUUGCUCUCCAAGAAAUACUCAGAUGCCUCCUCUUGAGUUGGCAUCUUGGCAGCCUUCUCUUUCCUUGCUUUUUCCUUCUUCUCUUGAGCUUGCACUGAUGAUGGUUCAUUCUCAUUCAUGACAACUUGAUUGUCCUCAAAGUCUGGAUAGAGAGCAAAAUGUUCCUUAUCCAACUGAUACUUUCCUGUGCCCAUCUUUGAGUUAAUCAACUCCUGAAUCUGUGGGGCAUAUCCACAACUUCUCUUCUGAUCUGCUGCAGUCCUUAAUGGUUUCAACCAUAAGGCUCAUGCCUUUGAAUUUCCGGGGCACAUCAAAAAUGUGAAGCAAGUUAAUUGCAUGCCCUCUUAUCAUGUUGUUGUCACCUGAUUUGGGCAAAAGAGUGUGCCUUAAGAUCCAGUUGAUUGUAGGCAGCCCUGACAGAAGAAAAUGGACUGACCCAAACGAGAAAGUCUCAAGGGCUUUGUCUGGGAUCUCUUUGUACAUAUGUGACAUAGUAUUGUGUCCCAUCUUCUUCUUGGCAUAUACAUCCAAGUCAUCUUCACUCUCCUUUGGGGCUUUGAUCAGACUUGCCCAUUCCUCAAUGGUUGACUGGUAUCUCGUUCCUUCUGACAUCCAAACUAUCCUGCCAUCUGGAUAGAAGCGUGCUGUGGAGUAGAAUUGCAUAAUGAGUUCAUCAUUCUAGUUGGUGAGCUUCUGCCCAACAAAAUCUGCAACUCCACAAGCAAUGAAACUAUUUUGCACUCCAGUAUAGUGUUCUUCAUUUUCCUUCAUGUAGGUCCAGUCGACCCACCUCAUAUCACACACUAUGGGCUUCUUGUCCAACAAGAUUGUCUCAUAGAAGUCCUGUUGCUCCUUGGUGUGGAACCUGUAAUCUACAGCAGUCCUUCUCCUGGUGGCAUAUGGAUCUGACUCUCUCCAUAGCCUCAACCCUGAGUCUUUCCUGAUCUUCAUGUUCUCAUCCACAGGAUGAGCAUCAUUGUGGUCUGGAAUCUUGGGUUUGAGCUUCCUUAAGAUCUGCCCUUCUUCAUCCUCCUCAGCAGCAACCUCAGGCAUUGGGGCCUUGUUCUUCUCAGCUACUGGUAUACUCCUACUAUUCCUCUUUGGUGCAAUCUUGGGCUUGGAGGCAGCUUUGGGUGCUCCUUUGGGCUUUGAUGUUGCAGCCCCUGACUUUAUAGCAUCACCCAUCAGCUUUUGUGGCUUGGGUGCUGGUUUAGCAACCACUUCUUCCUCUUCCAUCAUGGAAGGUUGACCAACAACUCUGGCCAUGGUCUUCUUGACCCUUUCCUUCCUUUUCUUUCCUUCUACAGCUGCCUCUUUGGGAUCAGGCAUUUCAGAUACUUGAGUUGAUCCUCUGGCUUUGGACAUUGGCUGUCUUCCUGCUGGCCUUUUGAUCUUCAUGCCUGGCUUUACUGCAGUUGAGUUGAGCACCUUCUUGAGCACUACCUUCUUGGAAGUAGCCUCAUCUUCUGCUGCCACAUAGUCCUCAUCCUCUGAGUCUGAGGUUCUCUUCCUUCUGGCACUUGUGGCUUCUUUGGGCAAAUUGCUUGGAGUGCUUCUGCUCCCUUCAUCUGAAGUACUUGAGGGACUAGUGCCCUCACUCAUGUGAAUCUGCUCUGUUGACUUGUUCUGACUAUCACUUUGGUCUGACAUGCUGCCAAUCACUGACUGCUGACCCUGUGAAUAGUUAUAGAUGAGACAGAGUGGAUGAGCAUCACAAAAUGCAGAGAUUUUUGCAAAAGAAUGAUUCAAAAACUUAGUUUUAGUUUCCAUAGAAAGCAUUUCGGAUCUACCGAUUUUCAAACUCGGUGAUACCGAAGCAGUUUUGGAACCUAAACUAGUGAACUCGGUCAGACCGAGUCACAGUUCGGUGGCACCGAGCCUGCUAGGGUUUCACAAAGUUCUAAAAUCGGUCACACCGAUUUGUAAUUCUCGGUCAGACCGAGACUUACUAGUGCAAUGGCGUUAGCCAAAUCGAUGGGACCGAGUUUUUCAACCCGGUGGGUCCGAGAUGGUUUUGGCGGAAACCUAACCCUAAAUUUUCGAAUCGCAUCUAUUCUAAGGAUCGCAUUGAGUGGAUAGGAGUGUCUCAAUCGUGGCAAGAUGCAUUACGAACACAAUGUGCUGAGAAUCAGAUGAGGAAAGCAUUGUGAUCGCGUUCAUACCCUAGUUCGGCGGUGAACUCGCUAUGGCGGCAAUGGCGGAGAAGAAAUCCGUUAACGGCGGCGGAGACCAGCGACAGGAGGCGGCUGGUGACGAAGUCGACGAUCCGUAGACCUAGUAGGCAGAGUGAGCUACGCGCGGGCGAAGGGGUUUGGAGGAAUUUCCAAAAAAUUUACCAUGACUAUAUAUAGCCCGACACUGUCGGUGUGACCGAGUUGAACAACUCGGUGGCACCGAGAUGCAUAACUGUUAACAGUUACAACAACUCGGUGUGACCGAAAAGUUCAUAUCGGUUGCACCGAGAUUGAAAACCUAGAUCGACUUAGUGAUCUCGGUGGGACCGAAAUGGUGGAAUCGGUCAGACCGAGAAUCACAAAGAAGUUUUGGAAGUUUAAGUCUCUGACGAAUCGGGGAGUCCGAGUGCUCCUCACACAGUGUGGUUCGAAUCUGACUUGAUCAAAUUUUGUGAUGUAGCAUGAAUAGAGUUUGAGACGAGAUAAGCAUAUAUAGCUAGAGAAGGUUCUUAGGCAUUCUUGUCCAUCCACUUGGCCGAAGAAAAGGAAACCAAUCAAUCAACACAACAAGUGGAUGUCCUCGAAUGAGUAAAAUAUGCAACCAGCAUGCUCACACAAUAAAGUGACAAAUGAAAUAUGUGGCAAAGCAUGCACAACCAAUUCUAGCAUCUAUCAAACAAUUGGCAAUGACUAGGUCAUCUGUAUAUGAGUAUAUUGAUUUAGGAGUCAAAUGAGAACAUUUGAUCAUAGGUCAUACUCAUUGUUUAAGCUCAAGUGGGGUUACCACUUUUACAUAAUGCAUUGAUGUGUUCACACCAUUAGAGUUGCUUUGACUCAAUUCUUAGAGUUAAGCUCCCCCUAGAUGUGAGAUCCCCUUUUAGAGGAAUGAACUAACCUUGGGUUUUGUCGAUGAUGACUUCAUGUAGGUGUUGAAGAUGUGAAUGCUCAAAGUUGAUGUAGAUCAUUUGGAGCAAUCUUUUGGAGUGAGUUGCACUUUCAACAUACCUACAUGGGUUAGUCCCACAAGGAACAGAACAAGAAUAUCCAUAGACAUAGAGUGAUGCACACACAAGAUGAUGUCCAUGAAAUCAUUUGGUUACCUUGUCCCUUGCCUUACCAACAUGAGGGUUUGUGACUCCUUGAACUAGUGCAAGAUGUGGAAGUUGAUUGCACUUGCUCUUGCCGUAAUGAUAUGAGUGAAGAAUGUUGGCGGAGUCACCCUCAAGAACUCUAUAGUUCUUCUUCUUCGGGGUCCACAUCAUCUUGAUGGGAAUCCUUGGAGUUGUGGUUGUACUUGAUGAAGUAGAACUUGACGUAGUCUUGGGAACCCACUUGGCCAAGGCCUUAGGUGCUUCUUCAAAUGCAUCAAUCUCCUCUUGAAGCUUGUCCUUGCCUUGAUGGUCUUGUGGUGGAAGAUCAUCUUGAGCUUGUGUUCCCUUGAAAGAAGUAGGAUCAUACUUCUCUUGUUGAGGAACAAACUUCGUCUUAGGGUAUUGAUCUUCUUCCCACUCAACUCCAUUGGCAUUGAACUUUCGUUCAAAACCAACACCUUGAUUCUUCCGGCGCCUUCCUUGCUUGCUUACAAUUUCCUCGAAUUGCUUACUCCCAGCAAGGCUCUUGUAUACACCUUUCUCUAUAAUUCCCUUCAAUAAGCUAUUUUCUUGCUCAAGUGUAACUUGGCUAAGAGAAUCAUUAAUGGAAUCAAGAGAACUACUAGAAGCAACAAGAUUGGAUUUAGCAUUGUUAUUGCUACUACUAGAGGACGAAUCUUUCUUGUUCUUGUUACUAGACUUGACUUGAGGCAUGUAAGUAGAUAAUAGUAAACGCUUGACAAUGUAAGAAGAACUUUUCUUGAGAAGAUCAUCAUUGAUUGACUUUAAGAACUCAUGCUCUUGCUCAAGAUUGAGCUUUUCAAAGUGUAACUUCUCAUGAGCUCUUAAAAGUUCUCAAUGAUUUUCGAAGAUAGUUUCAUGAGAUAACUUAAGAGUGUUUAGUUCUUUAGUUAGAAGCUCAAUCUUCUCCUUAUCGUUGUCAUUCGUUUUAUCUUGUUUAGCAUGAUUAUUUGACAUUCCAUCAUAUUAUUCAUCACUAGAGUUGUCAACAAGUAAAUCAUCAUCACCUAGCAAGUCAUCUUCAUCACUAUUGAAAUCAACAUACUCGGGAUGUGUUACCUUUGGACCUUUGGCCAUGAAGCAUCUUCCAAUUCCUUCAUUUGGUGAGUCAAAUAUGUCAUGGGAGUUGGUUGACACAAGUGCUAGACCGGCAACACCUUCAUCUUGAGUAUGUUCGGAGUCGGAGUGAUGUUCAGAGUCGGAACCGGAUACCCAUUCACCAACAUGAGCUUGAUGUCUUCGUUUUGUGUAGCUCUUUGAUGACUUGUCCUUCCUUUCCGAAUCUUUGCUUCUCCAUCAGGGUCUUCGUUCAUAACGAUCAUCUCUACUCCUUCUCUCUCUUGGCGGUGAUUCUUCUCGUCUACUUCUUCUUUUUGGAGAAUCUUCUCUUCUUUUGUAGGGUGCCGUACACUCAUUGGAAUAGUGUCCGGGUCUCCCACAAUUGUAGCAAUUGCGCUCUCGACUGGAAGAUCUUUUGUCAUUGUAGGACCUUGACUUAGAGCUUCUUUCUUUGCUUCUACUCUUGUAGAAUUUGUUGAAAUUCUUCACCAUUAAGCUCAAUUCUUUAUUGAAGGUUUGUUUCUCACUUGAUGAUGUGGGGGCUUCACAUGAGGCUUUGUAAGCACCACUUGACUUGUUGUGAAGUUCCUCCUUAUCCUUGAGUGACAUCUCAUGAGCAACAAUUCUACCAAUGACCUCCGUUGGCUUGAGAUUCUUGUAAUUGGGCAUCAUUUGAAUCAAUGUGCACACGGUAUCAUAUUUUCCAUCCAAUGCUCUUAGGAUCUUCUUGAUGAUGAAUCUGUCGGUCAUCUCUUCACUCCCUAAGCCGGCAAUCUCAUUUGUGAUAAGAGCAAGCCUAGAGUACAUUUCAGCGACACCUUCACCAUCCUUCAUUUUGAACUUGUCAAGCUGACUUUGGAGCACAUCCAACUUGGAUUCCUUGACGGAGUCGGUACCUUCAUGCAUAUCAAUCAAAGUGUCCCAAAUUUCCUUUGCGUUCUCAAGACGGCUGAUUUUGUUGAAUUCUUCAGGGCACAAUCCGUUGAAGAUGAUAUCACAAGCUUGAGAGUUGUAUUGCAGCAUCUUCAAUUCUUCCGCAUUAGCUUCACGGUUCGGCUCUCUCCCAUCAAAGAAUUCACCAUGCAAGCCAAUACAAAUAAUAGCCCAAAUGGCGGGGUUAUGUCCGAGAAUAUGCAUUUUCAUCUUAUGCUUCCAACUAGCAAAAUUAGUUCCAUCAAAGUAAGGACCUCUACGGUGAUAAUUUCCCUUGCUAGACGCCAUACUCUCCUAGGUUGUGAAACCAAGGCUAUGACCACCAAAAGCUAGGGAAAACAAAGAAAAUGGAGACCAAAGCUCUGAUACCACUUGUAGGACCUUGAAGUAUGUCUAGAGGGGGGUGAUUAGACUACUUGACCAAUUAAAAACCUAACCUAUUCCCAAUUUUAGAGUUUGGCAGAUUUCAACAAUCUUUGGACAAGUCAAGCAAUCAACACACAAAUCAAGCAAGCAUGCAAAGAGUAUAUAGACAGCGGAAAUUAAAGCAUGCAACUUGCAAAAAAGUAAAGGGAAGGGUUUGGAGGAUUCAAACGCAGUUGGAGACACGGAUGUUUUUGGCGUGGUUCCGAUAGGUGGUGCUAUCGUACAUCCACGUUGAUGGAGACUUCAACCCACGAAGGGUAACGGUUGCGCGAGUCCACGGAGGGCUCCACCCAAGAAGGGUCCACGAAGAAGCAACCUUGUCUAUCCCACCAUGGCCGUCGCCCACGAAGUACUUUCCUCACUAGCGGUAGAUCUUCACGAAGUAUGUGAUCUCCUUGCCCUUACAAACUCCUUCGUUCAACUCCACAAUCUUUGUCGGAGGCUCCCAAGUGACACCUAGCCAAUCUAGGAGACACCACUCUCCAAGAAGUAACAAGUGGUGCAUUGAUGAUGAACUCCUUGCUCUUGUGCUUCAAAUGAUAGUCUCCCCAACACUCAACUCUCUCUCAUAGGAUUUGGAUCUGGUGGAAAGAAGAUUUGAGUGGAAAGCAACUUGGGGAAGGCUAGAGAUCAAGAUUCAUAUGGUAGGAAUGGAAUAUCUUGGCCUCAACACAUGAGUAGGUAGUUCUCUAUCAGAACUGGUAAGUUGGAAGUGUAGGUUUGUUCUGAUGGCUCUCUCCACGAAUGAAGAGGAGGAGUAGGGGUAUAUAUAGCCUCCACACAAAAUCUAACCGUUACACACAAUUUACCAAUCUCGGUGGGACCGAAUUAACAAACUCGGUCAGACCGAUUUAGUAAACCUAGUGACCGUUAGGAUUUUCGGUGGGACCGAAAUGCAACUCGGUAGGACUGAUAUGGUUAGGGUUAGGGAAUAACGUAAUCUCGGUGAGACCGAUUACACAAACUCGGUAAGACCGAUUUUGGUAAUUAGCUAACCAGAGAGUUGGUCAGGUAAACUCGGUGGGACCGAUUUGCUCUUUUCGGUGAGACAGAAAUGUUACAAAAGGGAAACAGAGAGUUUACAUUGCAAUCUCGGUAGGACCGAUCGCUCACUUCGGUUAGACCGAAACGUUACGAAGGGAAACAGAGAGAUUACAAUCCCAUCUUGGUGAGACCGAGAUCCCUAUCGGUGAGACCGAUUUGCCUAGGGUUUGUGGCAGUGGCUAUGACAUUUGAACUCGGUGGCACCGGAUAGAAAGAAUCAGUGUGACCGAUUUUGGCUUUAGGUUUAGGUCAUAUGUGGAUGUGAGAAAGUAGUUGAGGGUUUUGGAGCAUAUCACUAAGCACAUGAAGGAAGAGGCUCAUUAAGCAACACCUCAUCACUCAAUGUGAUCUUGGAUCACUGAAAUAGAAAAUGAAGAGUGUUGAGCUUUUGAGCUUGAGCCAAUCCUUUGUCCUUGAUAUUUUGAGGGAUCCACUUUCAUCAUCCAUGCCAUGCCAUUCAUUGAGCUUUACUGAAGUAAUAGUCUUGGAAUAGCAUUAGCUCAAUGAGCUAUAUGUUGUUAUGAAUUACAAAAACCACCUAGGGAUAGUUGCACUUUCAAUGACCAAGUUUAGCGACACGUUGGCCGCCUAGAAAACUCGAUUGAAAGCAAGGAUCAUCGACAAGAAGGAACCCUACUCCGAGAUUAUAAAGGAUAAUCCGACAAUCACGGAAGACCAGUUUCAAAUAUUCAAGGAGGCUUGCGAGGCCGAAGCUGCCAAAAAAAAGUCUAAGUACAUGAAGGGGCUUCAAGAGAGGAACAUUGGGAGCCACCACCUCGGAAGCCGUGGUUACGGCGGAAAGAGGUCCAAAUGGGCCAAGGAGGACACGGAAGCCGCGAGUCUGGGCAUCCUAGACCCCUUGGCGGAUUUCACCGUCCUGCAGGAGCAUGACGUCCUGAGGGCCCGGCACCAUUGGGACCCAGUAAAGAAGGUUUACGAGACAACACCGGUCAUUACGGAGUUCAUGAGACUGCUGGUAAUUUUAGUUUUUGAUCAAUUUGACUGCACAUGUUAGUCAUAUUUGUAAACGAUCCUUGUGCCUUUUGCAGAGAGAGCAACACCGGAUUGCGGCCGAAAGCGACUCGCCGUCUGAGGAAUUGGCGAGGCCCAAGUGGGACACUCCAUUCAACCGGGCGUUGAACAUAUUGAAACGACAACCGGUGGAUACUCAACCGCCGUAUGGAUGCGUGCACGGUGUCGGAGACGGCGCCACGUGGAAGAAGUACUACCGUGAGACCACGGAGGAGAGAAAGGAAAGACGGAGGUUAACUGAAGAAAACAUCGACAAGAAGGUUGAGAUUGUGGUUGAGAAGAAAUCAUCUCAGACAGUCGCAACAGUGGUAGCUGCCGCAAAAUAGGUGGUUGCAGAUUUGUCUACUUCCUUGGUGAUGGGCGUUUUCACUUGGACAAGGCAAAAUCCAGAAAAAAAUGCAGAGGACUUUCCCCUUGCUGACUUCUUGGGAGCACCUGCUCCCGCACCGGCUCCCGCACCUGCUCCCGCACCGGACGUGCUCGGCGGUGCUUCGUCUUUGGCUGAGCUCGACGCCCUCACGGUAUCUGUCACACCGCCCCCCUUCAAUAUAAAUGUAUAAUCUCCCGUUUUCGUUGCCUUUCGGAUGUCUCACGUCGCAGACUUUUCUUUGCAGGCCGACGAAACCCCGUGCACCAUAUUGUACACCAUCGAUGACCAGAAGGUGGAUGUGGGGAAGGUGACGAUAAUGGAGCCGAAGGAACCAUUGUUCCACAGUCGGCCGAUCCCCCCGAACGUCUUCAAGGUUUCCGUGGCCAGUGUCGAACCGGGCCACGAGAAUUUGCCUCCUCCAAUACUACUGGUGGAUGACGAGGAGACACCGCGGUGGCUUGGUGAUUGUUGCAAUGGGUGGGUCCUGUUGUGGCCAAAGAGUCUGCUUCAUCUGGAGGCGGUCGGGAGCACACCCACGAGCACGCAGCCUCAGCAAGGUAUGAACAUCAACACCCCACCUACCCAAUUAGCGUUGCGUGUCGAGUUGGUUGAUAACGGAUAAGGUAAGGAGGAUGCUCCGCUAGUCGCUGAUGACGUCGCCAUGGAUGAGGAUGAGGACGACGGUGGCGCUGAACAGUAUGUCUAUACUGGUGCCUCCUCAGGGUUUGAGCGUCAUGAUUCGGUGCCUGAAUUGCCGUCUCAACGUAUUAUGGACGACCUUCCGGUAGUAAAGAAGUCUAGGAAGAGAGCGAGGAAAGGCAAAAAAGCUGAUUCUAUGAUCCAGCCGCCUCAGCAGCCUCGGCUUCAGGACCGUAUAGAUAUCCCCGAUGCAGAUAAAUGGCAUAUCCCCGGUCAACCAAUCCUACCUGCAACAGUGCUACAGGCCAGAUUCGGCGAUCUAAGGAGACUUCAUGACGAUGUGCUGCGGGUAGAGAAAGGCCUCAUCGCCUCGACAGAUCCAGGAUACCCACUCUACGUGGUUAAUGUUUCGCGUCAAAUGCCGUACGUUGACAGCUUCCCCGCGGAUAGGUUCUUCCUCCGAUUCGAUUACAUAUUCGACAUGUUUCACAUGAAGAAGCUGGAUUUUACGUUUGUCUUCCUUUAUACCUUGCACAUGAACUACAUCAUCGGGUUUGAGCAGAUAUCUCAUAUCUGUGUCGCUGACCCGUACUACAUGCACGAGGGCUUCUUGGGAGUCUGCGCAGAGCACCAUGUAUACGCGAGGGAAUACAUCGUCAAUUUCAUGCUCGACAAUAAGGACAAGGGGGCGAUUCUCGUGCCUUAUCAUCCCGUGUAAGUCAUCCGCGCUUCUAUCCUUCCUUCGAUUUCAAUCAUUCAUUUGCACGGUGGAGGCUAAGUAAUUUGAGGUGUACUUAUUUUGCGCAGCGGUGGGCGCACCGUCCUCAUCAUCCUAUACCCCCGAUUCUCCCACGCUCUUUCCUUGGACUCGUCGAAGAACAUUCACAAAAAGGAUUACACCCACAUCAAGGAUGUUCUCAAUAGUGCUAUGUUUUACUACCAAGCAAGGGGUGGAGAGGUCAGGGACUAGAAGAGAAGGGGCGGCAGGGUCGCCUUCGGCCAUAAGACCGACUUCUGCUGCAUCCAGCAACCGAACAAUUCUCUUAAUGAUGGAUUCUAUGUCCUACACCACAUGCUGGUGUACAGACGGGAUCACCAGAACCUUCGCAUGUCACCUAGAUCCGGCAAUGCCCAUAUUCUGCAAUGGGCAAAGAAAGUAGGAGAUAUCGAGGACCAUCGACUUCGAGCUAAGUUCUAUCACAUCCAGCGCGAACUUGCCCAAAUCAUCAUGAAGGAGGUCGUCCAAAAAACAGGGAUGUUCUAAGAAGAAGGACAAAUGUCGUGGGAAGACGUCCGAACAUGGAUAGCCUCUCAGCGUCUCGACAUGAAGCCUUUCACUAAGCUCGAGGACUAUCUCCUUGACCUCGAUGGAUGGCACGACAUGUUGGAGUGAUUAUCGAUAUAUGACAAUGUGUCCGUUUAGUCCAUACUUUCUGUAUGACAAAACUUUAAGUUAUGCGCGGUGAAACUUUUUGUGAUGUAAUUAAACCAUCCUCCUCCUCGACUAGCGAAGAUCACUCUAGUUAGGGCAUUUUGGGUACGAUGAACUUUGUUAUUUAUGCUUAUGAUAUGUUGUUUCUAUUUUUGCCAAGUCUGUCUCUUUCUGUUGCUCAACUAUAUAUGUUGCAUAUCAUCGACUCAUGUGACGAUGCAGGUGCAUAGAUCAUCGAUGGCGAAGAAGUGCUACGCCAGGAGUAUAUAUACGACGAGUGGCCGGAGUGUCAGACCCAGGUGUACCGGUUUCUGGUUUCUGAGCAACAGGCAGUAGUUAGUUUAGGUUCACGCUAAUGCGAGAGAGGGAUAUGAACUCAUGUACUCAAAGUGAUAGCUCUUCUCGCGUAUACCAUUGUUUAGAUGGAUGACGAUGUAUUUGCAAGUAAUCGAGGACUUGUAUCGCUAUUUUCGAGAUGAUGACGAGAGACCACUUUGUGUUGGAUGAUGAUUAUGAUGAUGACAUGAUUUGAUGAGUCUAAUUGUAUGUAUAUGCUAUGAUUAUAUUUGUAUAUGUAUGAUAUGCUAAAGAUUAUUGUAUAAAGCCUAUUCAAAUACAAAACAAAUACAAAAACAAAUAUGCAGGAAAAAAACUAAUAAAAUUAGUAGUAGCGAGGGGGGGGGGGAUUUAGCAGUAGCGCCGGAUUACCAGUAGCGCUUCCUGGUAAACAUCGCUGCAGAUAAUAUCAGCAGCGCCCUUUUCUGAACAGCGCUACAGCUAUUCAUGUAUAGCAGUAGCGUGGAACAACAGGCGCUACUGUUAUACGUUAGUUGUAGCGCCUUAUUAGUAGCUCCUGUCCCUGCGCUACUGAGAGGACCAAAACCCGCGCUGCUGCUAGGCUUUUCCCUAGUAGUGAUUUUGGACCAAAUGCUUGAUGGUCUCACUAGAGUUGUAAGAGCAACAUUUCUAGAUCCUUUCCGAUUGCAACUUAUUAGAUUGUCCUUUGUUAGUGGCGCACCCCGCCUUACGUACUAAAGGAAAAUUUUAACCUUACUUGGGAUUUUCUAUGACAUCUAAGAGAAGAGUCUACAACGAUCUUGUACUUGAACCGUACAGAUAACUGCUAACUGUUUACUAUGACAUCUAAGAGAAGAGUCUACAACGAUCUUGUACUUGAACCGUACAGAUAACUGCUAACUGUUUUCGGCUUACAACAGAAGGUGUCACAACCUCUAAUAAUUGAACUCAUGAUAACCGAGCAACUAGCCGAUCGCACACUACUCUGUUGUCUUAGGUUAUGGACCUCCCUAGCUCAACGCAUGGCAGAUUUGUCUCAAGGACCUGAACCAUCAUGAAAUUAGAUUAGUAGGCAACAAUAAUUGUAAAUAAUCGCGUAAUGGGCAUUGAAAGGUUUGUUCCAUCGCGAUUUUUUUCAAAGAACCAUGUCUUCACUCAUCUAAGAACCUUGAGACGGACCAUGCUUAUAAAAUUUCCUAACUUCAAUUGCCCCAUGCCAAUUUCUCCUUGGCCACCUGCUUUUCCUAUCCACCAAAGGCUAGUUAACACCCAAUAGCUAGAAUAUUUUGGUUGGUUCCAUAUUUUGGUGCCUUUGUUUGAACCGCAUCCUGUAGUCUACCAUCACGUGUGUAGACUAACAACCCAUGUGCCUUUAAAAUUCAUGGGUAAUGGCUACUGCAGUCAUCCACAUGGCCAUGUGUCUGUGCGGCUGCAUGAUGAUCAGCUGCUCUCAAGCAUGAUUCUUCGUUGAACGGGGCAGCUUGAUGGGCUCUUUUGUCAAACACCAUUUUCUCGAUGUUUUUUAAAAACAACCUUGCCUAUUUUAUAUGCCUGCUACUAGCAGCCGUGGAUGCAGCCAUGUGCAUCACCCGAAUACUUCUUUGUCGCGUCGUUCUCUCACAUUGUCUCAACGAUUGGGAGGAGGUACCCGAUGUAUACAAGUAAAUUUUGUAUGAAAACAACACAUUCAUUCAUUAGAGUCAAACAUAUUGAUAGUUCAGCAUGGUCUCAUUGUGAGCCUCUCAUGUCAAGGUUGGCCGCAUAUUAUUAGUUAUUACAGGUCGUUAGUUCUAAUUAGACUAAUCUUUCAGUCAAUCAAAAUGUUUAGCUGCCCUAGUGUGAUCAUCACAUGAAUUAAUUGUACGGAUUUGCUGACUUGUGCAUAUGCAUAUAAGGUUUGAGGGGGGAGAUUGGUUUACAUAAUAUAUGUGUUGAUCACAUUCAUUAUUGUUCAGGAUUCGCUUACAGGUUAAUUACGUACAUGUCCGCCUCAUGUCCUCAACCAUUAUUUAAGUAUUUCAGAGGACAAUUAGUUAGCUGGGACACGUACUGGAGUAACUCACUGCUCGCGUCUCUGUCAUUCUAAAUGGGGCGACACAUAUGUACGUGGCGAAGACCAAGACUUACGAGCUCCGCAUCAAUUUCACAUUUAAUCUGCCCACCACCAUCUCUUGCAGUUCAUAUGUGCAGCGAAAACUUGGUACUUCCUUCCUCUGAACAGAUGCCUCCAAAACAUAAACACGUGCAUAAGUAAAGUAUGCAUGCGGAUGAACCACAGAUUUUUCUUUGAACAGUUGUGCAUGCCGAUUUUACUUUGUUAUCAUCCCAUCAGGCUAGUGUAUUGCGGUAAUACCGAAAUCAUUUUCUGAAACUAAGUCGACCGAAGAAAACAGCGAUCUAUCAAGCCACUCUGAACAUAAGACAAGAGAAGGGCAUAUGUACAUAUUCCUUUAUUGUAGAUACUAUACAUGCAUAUCAUCUAGGCCAUGAGCUAGUGAGGUCAUGGAUGCCGUGCGUGAAGAAAGGCAAAGGCGGGUGGAUGCGCAGGCUCUCUAGCACGACAACAUCCAGGCUCUCAAGCACUAUGGCACUUAGGCAAGGCAUGCCGCGGAUGCCCUUCAUGGAUGCCGUGGUAGGCACGACGGCGCGGAGGUUUCUUUUGGCCUUUGUUUAAAAACACACAAAACCUAUAGUUUAUUUCUAAAAGUGGGUUAGCACCAACAAAACAGAAGGGAUGAAGAUAGGUAGAUGGUUAAGCGUAAGCAGUGAAACAUCUAACCUAUAGAUUGACCAAUUCAAGUAAGAUUGGCCCCAUAUAUUUUAUAUACUAGUCCUCAACCCGUGCAUUCGCACGGGCUAGCCCAGAAAAAUAUGUGGCAAAGAUUUUUAUGUCCUAAUCAAUAUAAGUUCAUCAGGUGGCCUUCUUAUUCCAUGGUUCUUCAUUAAUUUACACUUUGACAAACUGUACACGAAUAUAACUUCCUGGUAAUGGUACAAAUUCUACAAACAAACUAGUUUUCGGAAAUGGGACAUAAAAAUGUCAUACCUGUCAAUAUUAGACCACAUUUUUGGGAUUUUUUUAUUUCUAGUUCUUUAGUAUCCAACAGUAUGAAAUUGCCUUUUCUAGAAUGUUUCCAAUUACCAAAUCUUUUUUGCUGCUCUAACGCAAUGCAAUUUGACGGUGCACAUCACUUCUCUCUAUUUUGUAGGUACAACAAUAUUUAUAUGUAUAGCACAAUAGGAAGGUGACUGUAAAUUUAAGGAAGUUAUAAUAUCUUAUUUACACUAUUGUUAUCCAAAUCAAUCCUUACCAUCAAACUUAAAAUAUAGGUUAAUAGAUAAAUUGAUGUAGUCGAUUUUCAUGUCAUUGACAAUUAGUGUUCAUGGAACAAAAUGUGUGAUAAAAUCCUCACCAGUUUUUUUAAUUUAAUCUUCGACGGCCAUAUAUCUUGGCUGCAUGUGGCAACAAUAAAAGUUGCCAGCAUUGUGUUUUAUGGCAUCCGAUUCGCAGCAUAAUGUCUCAAAUCUUGUCAAUUCCAUGACAUGCAAGCGUUUUGUUGAGUUGUGCUACAUAAGUAGGUAAGAGAAUCUCCAGCCGCGUCCCAGAACGGCCUCCUCAGGCGAUUUUUUCGCGCCGGCGCCGAAAAAAAGCCCAGUCGCGCUUCCAAAGGUCCAAUUUUCGCCGGCUCGGACCGAAUUUGGCGCCGGCGGACCCACGCCGCACCCGGCGCGCUGGGGGCGCUUGGGGGCGCCGGCCGAAACAUUUUUGGCGCGAAAACCGGCGGGCCCUCCUUGGCAGCGACUCGGCUCUUCUCGUCGCUUCGUCGUCCUCAUCGCCUCGGUUCCCGCGGCGAAUCAAUGCCAAAGCUGCCGCGCGCUGCCGCGCCGGUCAGCCUCCUCCAUUGAUGCCUCACGGGCGGCGCAGUGAAGAUCGGACGACGCGCGUCCCUCGCCCGCCACACGUACAGACGGCGGCCACGCGUACGCGCAGCGCCUCCGCCUAUAUAAGCCGCCCCCAGCGCACCGGUGGCGGACAGACACUCCAUCACCGACGCCCGUUCCUCCCUCUCCUCUCGCCGUCUCCAGUUCAACCAUGGCCGAGUGUUUCCCAGGCGAUGGCGCAGCGGCGAACGGCUUCGGCCGCCACCACCUUCAUGAGGACGAAGCUUGGCUCCUCUUUGAGGGCGAGUACCCGGUCCCGCCGGACAUGCGGGUGCCCGGGGCGUGGAGGAUCAGCGCCGGCGGGGUCCCGGUGCCACCACCGCCCACAGGGGCGGUGCGGCGUGCGGAGAUCACGCGUAUUCGCGCCUCUCUACCGCAGGCGGCGAGGGAAGGUCCACGGUACGUCCCCGACAACCCGCUGUGGGAGCCCUACUUCCGCCGCCCCCACGCCGAGCAGCUCGAGGCCACCAAUGGCGUCGUGCCCUCCGGGAGGCUCAACUCCGAAGGCCGCCGCCGAUGGUGGGGCAUGCCCGGUCGCACGCUGGAGGUCGUCCUCGAGUACAUCGAGGGCGGCAACGCGCCCAGGCUGGAGUAUCCCGCUCCACCGUCCUUCUCCCGCCGACGUGGGAGCUCAUGGACGCCGAGGCACAUGGACCCGGGGGCGUCCUCCUCCUCGUCCGGCCGCUCGACCGGCUCUCCCUGCCUCCACCCCGUCAAGCCGGAGUCCUAGGACAUGCCGGUCAGCCACCGCACCCGCAGCUUCGUCGUUCGCAUUGCCGACUCCUCCCCCACCUCUGGAUACCUCGUCCUCGUCAGGCCAAAGGCGGAGCCCGGCUUCCCCGCGGAGUACGAGGCCAUAGCCCGACGCGGCUUCUCCGACUAGGAGGCCCUAAAGUGGGCGCGGGACGACUACCUCCUCGACGAGAUGGUCCGGUAGCACCAAGCCCUGGAGGAGAUAGCCGCCCGCAGGCGUGGGCGCGAGGAUGAGCACGGCGUGGUGAUCCUCGACAGCGACGAGGACGAGGACGAGGACGCCCCCGGACCGUCCAACCCGCCGCGCCAACCUGGGGAGGGGUGCAGCAGGGAUGGCGGCUGCGAAGGAGACGACGACGACGGCGGCGGCGGCGACUACACGCAAUUCUACAGGCUCCUUGGCAUGUAGAGCUUCAAGGGCGGCGGGCGGCGAGGAGCGGCAAGGGCGACGGCGGGCCUAGUAGCGUUUUUGUUCCUUUUUGUAAAAUAUUUUAAAUAUGUAUGAACUCGCCGAAGUUUGGUUGAAUUUAGCUGUGUUUAACCGAACCUCGCCGAAUGUUUUAUUUUUUUAAAACAAUUAGGCGCGCCUCGGGGGGCCCUGGGGCCAGCGACUGGGGACCAACUCGCCCCCAGGCCGGUUUUUUUGCGCCGGCUCGCCCCUAGGUGGCGAUUUUAGGCGCCUCCUAGGGGGCCAACGGCUGGAGAUGCUCUAAUACAACGAUGUCUUAUUAUAACUGAAGCUUUGUUAAUAUAUUACAAAAGUUUUAAAUAAUAUUGACAAUUACCGUGAACAUAUUUUCACCAUUCAAGGAACGAUGAUGCUUAUAUGAAACUUUGGUCCGGAGCACAAGAUUUAGUAUGCUUUCAUUUUUGCCAAGAAUGAAAGUAAUUGCCAACAAAUCUAAAUAUUUGCGAGCAUGUCUGCCGUCAUUCUUGAAUCUGUGUUCUAAACUUGUCUACUUUGUGCUUUUUACAACACCACAUAUCAUGGUGCUCUGUAUUCUUGCGACAACCACGUGCAAACAUUAAAAUAUAUAUUUCUAACUUUAUAUACUCCCUUCAUUCCCUUAUACAAGGCCACAAACUCAUAUUACAGAUACCAAGAUAAAAUUUAAUGACUCAUUUGUAAGUCAACUUUUCUUUUUGUUAACCGGGAUCAUUAAUACACCACAAGCAUGCAACGAAUGAAUGGGAAGGAAGUGGCCGAGUGUCAUUAUAACUACAUGCAUGUAAGUAUUGAAAAGUUGGUUGUACGAGGAAACAUCAAUAAUUUUUGCCUCGAUUACUGUUAGUGGCCUUAUAUUGAUGCAAAAUGUAUUUUUGAUAGUGGCCUUGUAUAAGGGAAUGGAGGGAGUAUUAAAGUUUGAACCUGAAAUGACACUGGCUUGUAGUUGGCCGGUGAUGUUCGCAAUUAUCUUGUACAGAUUUUCCCAAUGGUGUUUUUUCUCGAAACAAUGUGCCAUGGUAUCCUGCAAUAAUCAAGAUGACUUAAGAAUAUGUAUUUUUCUACUAUUAGAACUUUAAAUAGUUGACUGAUGAUGAGAAGCAUUUGUUCUUACAGUUCAUUAUAUAAGAAUAUUAUGGCACUUCAAUAAGAAACAAAAAACCACACAACUUCAAUUGUGUCCUUCUGGUUUAAAAAUUCCAGGAAUUUCUUUUGUCAAAAUGUGGCCACCCCAGAUCAAACCUGCUGUAGGCAAUUGGACAUGAUUCCUCUAGGCUCUGAACCAUAUGACUCGAUGCACCUUGACUAUGACAAAGGCGCGGAUCAGGGCGCUUGAGUAGCUGCUUGUAUCUCCAUUUACGUCAAGGUUAGGUUAUGACGUUAGAGCCAAAUUGAUUGUAUAUGUUAGUAACCGUAGAGGAAAACUACAUAAGAACUCUAGCUGGUCCAAAAUUCUACCUGAUAAGAAUGAAUCUGAGAAGGAAUAACCUCCGGUAGAUCGAAUAACUGAAAAUUGGACGAAGUUCUGAAGGACAACAUAUCAUGUGCACUAACUAAUUUUCAUAUUCAGAUUUAUCUUCCAUGUUAGAUUUUAUAUCAUACAUAUAUGCUGCCACAAAUCCAUUUCACACAUAUGACUCAAUUCAGUAUCAUCAUCGCCACACAGAUUUUACAUGGAUUCCACUUCUUUGUGUUGGAAGAUUAAUGCCAUUGGAAAAUAUGUAGAUCAGUAUUAGUUAAGAUAUGAUUGCACCAAUCAAUACUAACCUAUGGGCGUCGGACAUCCUAACCUACUGAUCAUGUAUGCAGGAAUCAAUGGCGUACAUGAUGUUUACGCUAUGGACAUGGAUGUGAGUCCAUCAUCUGCAAUUGAAGCUACUUUAGACUACUCAUGCUCGAACACCAGCAACUGGCAUAGUCCAAGAGAAAUGGAGAUCUGGUAACCGACACUAAUAAAGCUUGAGGCAUGAUAUCUUGAGAAGAGACAAUAGAUGGUGAUUAAUUACUACUACUGCUAGAGAACAAAGUCAUUUAACGGAAAGAUUGUGAUGAUGUAACCUAUAAAUUGUAUUAAAUUUGUACAAAUGUACCUGAUGUAUUUACUCGUGUACCAUGUGUGGAGCAACCGACAUAUACUUCACUUCAUGCUUAUACACACAUACGCUUGCAUCUUUGCUAGUAUUGCAGUGUCGGAAUAGAUUUGUACAUUGUAAAGAUCAUUUGUAUAUAAGAGCUGAUUACAUACCUCAACAUGAAUUUAUGAAGCUUUAUAUUUUCCUGGUCCAUUGAGCUGGACAGCAGCAGAUGUGGAUUACGGAACAACGCGUCCCAAUAGCGCCGCCUUGAACAAUCCAGGUUGUCAUAUGUCUCCAUGUUGUAUGGUGCCAAACCGCUGGGCCACCGGUGCUAUUGCUUCCUCAGUUGAUAAGUUGUAUUAUACUAGUCGUCAACCCGUGCAGUUUCACGGGCUAGAUAGUCAUCUUUUUUUAUCACUAUGUUUUAAUAAAUAUAUGUAUACACUUUUUAGGCAUAAAAUAGUAAAUAUAAAACAUGUUAUAUCUUCUAUAAUUAUUAUUUAACAUUUUUUUAUUCUCCAAUUUUUUGUGGUAUAAGGAAUCCAACAUCUUCGGGAUCCCACAUUUCUGUCGGCAAAUUGAAAUAAUUGAAAAUGAGUUGGAAAUGUUAUUUCCUAUCAAGUUGUUUGUAAUUGUUCAUUCCUCAUACUUGAUUACACUGUCAUAUGAACAGAAAGAAAAUAGGUGAAAUUAACAUCCUUCUCUUUGAAACAGAAGGAUCCAAAAUUGUGUUGUUUGAAAAUAUGAUUAAUUUGGACAUGCUAGUUUUGCAAGUUGUGUUAAAUAAUGGCCAUGUCAACUUCUUCUAAAGUUGCAAGCGAUAUUUGGUUACCAUAAAUUAUAUACUUCAAUUCACACAUUCAUGACCUGAAAUCAUAUAUAGUGACCACCAUCUAUGACUUCUUUCCUACUCCUGAUACAUUUAACUAUUAACACAUUUAAUACUGAAAUUUAGAAGAGGUAAACCAAUCGUGCAAAAAGAAAUAUACUAUAUCAAACACACAUAGGCUAUAGUACACGCCUGAUAGAUUUAGCACUGCAAGCAGACCAAUGGUAGGGAGAAGCAAUGCAUUUGUUUUUACCUCAACUAAAAAACCCAGAAACUAAAAUGGUCCAGAAUAAAUAGUAAUUGCUGCAUGGCGAGUGUCCCUCCUUGCUAUUCUGCCAUCCAAUGUUGUAGAAUGGUCACCAUAUGCAUCCAUUUCUAGUGGUCAUCAUGUGCUUCUUGGUGUUGCUUUCCUGAAUCAAAGCAACACAUGGGAGAGGACAACUACAACAUGAUGUAAAGGAGGCUUCUCUUGCCUUGCACCAGUGUAACAUGCAAAAUCAGAUGAGCACACCAGAGUCUAAAUGGCUGCAGAAUGAAACAUACCUUUUCUUGACUUUUUACCUGGAUAACAAAAGGAGGACAAAAGAGCGGAGUUAUGCAGGUGAAAGAGACCGCGAUUAUUUGCUUUGCCAUACCAUUUGUGUUUAGCAAAGGGGAUUACUCAGGCAGUUGCUAACAAUGGAGUGUGUGCAUAUGCAGCAAGCGACCAAAGGAGUUUUUACCAAACAUGGAUAGGAGUGUAGUCUACGGAUUGGCCCUCCAUCCCCUUUGGCGCUAGGUCUAUUCAUGGCUCUAGGUUUUGCCUUUUUGCAUAUGUAUGACAGAGGUAGUACGUGUAUGAGAUCUUUGUCACCUAUGAUGCAUCGAAGGCUUAAUGUUAGUAUUACCAUCUAGGAGUAUACUUGUAUGGGAAUUACAUCAUGUAUUUUUUUUAUUAAUUGUUUAUACUUGCGUGGCAAAAAUAAGACUUGUGUAAGCUAUAGUUAUGACACUACGCAUCAAAGUAUCAACAUUCGCAUGCUAGAGGCAAUCGUAUGAACCAAUGUUCUCUAUAAUAAAUAUUAACUCAUCACCAUAUGCAUGUUUAAGAAACAAAAUAAUUGAAGUGAGAACUCCCACGUAUAGCAGAUAUAGAAGAUCAAAUCCAGUUGAGUGAAUUACCUUAAUUUGGCCGCAUGUGGAGGCACAUACAGGAUGCCCCUAGACGCGCGCGCGCGCACACACACACACAAACACACGUAUAAAGAACUCAUGGAGCUGCCACCGGCGACUACUCUCGGGACAUAGGAUCAGUCAUCCUGAUCAGCCUCCGAUCCCCAGCGGUUCACCUCGGGAAGUAACUGAUAGACCCUUAGAUCGGAGUGGGCUAGGAGAUCCGGUGAACCUACCUUGUCCAGGUGCAGAUGAGGAACUCCCGGUGCCGGCCAUGGUGAGUACUAAUCUUGUGCAUGUAGUUAGUUGGUUAGUGGAUUGACUAGCCGGGUCAUGCGUGCAUGCAUUAGAUGGAUAAGUAGAUGUGUGUGUGGCGUAGUGGUCACGGUAGCUAGGCUGUUAGGAGUGGCCGGUGGAGCUGGCCGCGUCGCUCGCAUGGCGCGCGUCGUGCGCAUGGCCGGUUCGCCCGCUGCAUGCAGCGGGGGGCUAGCUACGAGGAAACGUAAGGGCUGCGUCGCUGGGCGUCUACAAAGCCACGGCUGCCAGUGUGUGUUUUUGGGGAGCUGAGUACGUGCUCAGGGAGAGAAAAAAAGGAUGCCGUUCGAGCGGCGGGUGGCGUAUGUGCGCCUGAAAAACACUUGUGUCUCUGUCCUUCUUCCUUCUCCUUCCUUCCUCUUCCUCUGGUGAUCUAGUUCAGAGAGAGAGAAAGGUGCAGCAAGAGCGAGAGCGAGAGCAAGGGCAUAGCCACGGCAACAACAACGGUGGCCGGUGAUGGCAGGGAGUGGAUGGCGGCGGUGUGUGGGCAGUGGCGGCGGCGGAGCUUCCCGUCACUGUCAGCCCUAGACCUAGAUCGGGUCGGGGUUUUCGGUGGGGAGCCUGGCAACGCGGUGAACCUCGUACUGCGUGCCGCCGGCCCCCACCUCUUUAUGUAGCGCUGCGUGACAGGGGCCCGUCAACCAUAUUGUGGUUGGGCGCCCCCGAUCAGGGAGCGGAUCAGGGGUCCGUUGGGCCGUUGGGCCCACACGGGAGAGAUCAACCUAAUAUUCUCCCCCUUGAUCUCAACUUUACUUUUAACCUUAUACUUUCUAGUUUAUUUGUUUCAUCACAUAUUGGUACAUAGAGCAUGUUUCAUCGUCACAGCUUAAAUGCCGGUAGAAUCAUACAGCUACAACAUACGUUUUGUUCAGAAACAAAUUCUGUUUCUUUUGGGCCUAUCCAGGAAUCAUAAGGCUUUCUCUUAAACCCAUGCCGGCUAAGUAUUCCUUGAACACAUUGGGUGGUAAGCCUUUCGUUAGCGGAUCCGCAAGCAUAUCUUUUGUCUUUAUAUGCUCGAGACUUAUAGUUUGAUCCUGGAUUUUAUCUUUCACAACAUAAUACUUUAUCUCUAUUAUUUUGGCAGCACUACUCGACUUGUUGUUGUGAGCGUAAAAUACCGCGGGCUGAUUGUCGCAGUACAUCUUUAGUGGUUUGUGAAUACAAUCUACCACUUUCAAGUCGGGUACAAAUUUCUUUAGCCAUAUCGCCUGCCCCGUGGCUUUGAAGCAUGCUAUGAAUUCUGCAUACAUCGUGGAUGAUGCAACUGUCGACUGUUUGGAGCUUUUCAACGAAAUAGCUCCUCCAGCGAGGGUGAAUACGUAUCCUGACGUGGAUUUUCUAUCAUCUUUGUCCCCCGCAAAAUCUGCGUCUGAAUACCCUUUUAUCUCUAGGAAAUCAGAUCUCCUGUAUGUUAGCAUGUAGUCCUUCGUGCCUUGCGCAUAACGCAAUGCUUUCUUUACCAUCUUCCAGUGCUCUAUGCCGGGAUUCUCUUGAUAUCUACCGAGUACCCCGAUGAUAAAGGCUAAGUCAGGGCGAGUGCACACUUGUGCAUACUGUAAGCUGUCAACUGCCGAAGCAUAUGGUACUCCUUUCAUUUGAUCGAUCUCAUACUGAUUCUUGGGACAUUGAAAUUUCCUAAAAUUGUCGCCCUUAACUAUAGGAGCAGGUGUGGCUUUACUCGCAUGCAUAUUAUACUUUUUAAGAACCUUCUCCAAAUAUGCUUUCUGCGAUAGUCCUAAGACUCCAUUGUUUCUAUCUCGGUGAAUUUCUAUGCCCAAAACAUAUGAUGCUUCACCAAGAUUUGUUAUGUCAAAAUUCGAGGAUAAGAACUUCUUUGUUUCUUGUAGUAGACUAACAUCACUGCUAGCAAGCAGAAUGUCAUCCACAUACAAGAUUAGGAAAAUAUAUUUCCCAUUUUUAAAUUUUGCAUAAAUGCAGUUAUCCUCAAUAUUUUCUUUAAAUCCAAAACUUUUAAUCGUUUGAUUAAACUUUAAAUACCACUGCCUAGAGGCUUGCUUUAAUCCAUAAAUGGAUUUCUUUAGGCGGCAUCCCAUAUUUUCCUUGCCUUCCAUGAUAAAACCCUUGGGCUGUUUCAUGUAUACAUUUUCUUUUAAAUCUCCGUUGAGAAAUGCCGUCUUUACAUCCAUUUGAUGUAACUCUAAAUCAAAAUGAGCAACUAAUGCCAUUAUGAUUCUGAAGGAAUCCUUACAUGAGACCGGAGAAAAUGUCUCUUUGUAAUCUAUCCCUUCUCUUUGUGUAAAUCCUUUUGCCACGAGUCGUGCUUUAUAUUUUUCUAUAUUCCCUUUAGAGUCAUACUUAAUUUUGUAGACCCAUUUGCAGCCUACUGAUUUGGCUCCUUUAGGAAUUUCCUCUAAGUCCCAAACAUCUUUGGAACUCAUUGAUUUUAUCUCGUCUUCCAUUGCCUUCAUCCACAUCGAUGAAUGAGGGCUUCUCAUGGCUUCUUCAUAUGAGGUUGGAUCUUUUUCCAUAUGAACCAUUUCUGUGUUAUAAACUUUAAAGUCAGUAGAAAUAGCUGACUUUCUUGAUCUUGUAGACCUUCUAAGGGCCUCAGUUUCUGGCACAUUCUGUGCCUCAACUUCUGGCACUUCUUCUAAAAUUUGCUGUUGCACCUCCCUUUCAUGCUCAACAACGGGUUCAGUCGGCUCCUAACGGACAGGUUCCGGGUCUGCCCCCAUAGUUGUCAUGGGUGGAGUUGCAACUGGUAGUGAGAAAAAUGGCUCCUGAAUCAUCGGAUUAGGUGCAUGCACCCUCUUCUCCUCAAGAUCAAUUUUCCGAGCUACCAAGCUCCCCCUCAUCAUUUCGUCCUCUAAGAAGACUGCAUGUCUCGUUUCUACAAACUUUGUAUAUCUGUCUGGGCAGUAGAAACGAAAACCCUUUGAUCUGUCUGGAUAGCCAAUGAAGUGGCAACUCACUGUUUUGGAAUCUAACUUUCCAAUGUUUGGAUUAAACAUUUUGGCCUCAGCAGGGCACCCCCACACCCUGAAGUGUUGUAGGGAUGGCACCCUUCCUGUCCAUAGCUCGUACGGUGUUUUGGGCACCGACUUGCUUGGUACUCUAUUGAGAAUGUGAAUGGCGGUUUUAAGCUCCUCCAUCCAUAAUCCUAAUGGCAAGUUGGAAUAACUCAUCAUGCUGCGCACCGUAUCCAUAAGUGUACGGUUGUGCCUUUCAACUACUCCAUUUUGCUGAGGUUCGCCCGGCAUUGAAUACUGGGCAACAAUGCCAGUCUCCUGCAAGAACUUUGCAAAAGGUCCAGGGACUUGGCAAUAUGGAGUGUGCCGACCGUAGUACUCUCCCCCACGGUCGGACCUAACUAUCUUUAUUCUUUUAUCAUGCUGAUUUUCAACUUCAGCUUUGAAUAUUUUAAAUUUAUCCAACGCUUCAGAUCUUUAACAACGUUGGUCAUAAAAAUAACAUCAUCAUAUUCUUUCCGAUAAUUACUUUAACAUGCUCUUAAAAACAUAAUUCUUUUAAAAUUUUAUUUUCUCUGUAAAAGAGCACUAAUAAUAAUUUACGCAGUGGAAAAACGUGAAUAAAAAUUCACGAACUUUUUACUUUUGACAGAAACUUUUCUUUGAUAAAAAAAAUAAAAUAAAAAUUCAUGAACUUUAUUAUUAUCUCUGUAAAAUUCAUGAACAUUUCUUUUUCUGAAAAUUUUAUUUUUUUCAUUUUCAGAACUUUUUCUGUCACUUUUCUAUUUUCUAAACAAAAAAAUUUCGUUGGAAAAAAAUUUUGCAUAGAAAAACUGUAUGAAAUAAACUGUUUAACUUUUGCCUAAAAAAAAUUGGGCAAAUGAACAGGCAGCUGGUUCGGCUUGGGCCCAGCGCGCGUUGCUGCGGCCUCGCUCGAGCACGCCCGCGGCGGCUGGUGGUUGGCGGCCUCAGCCCAGCGCCUCCACUUUUGGCCCAAGUGGCCUGCAACGGGUUAGGGUUUCGAUCUGAGCCGUCUCUGGAGAUCCGACGGCCAGGCGCCCAUUUCGCUCGAACAAAACAGCGAGUCAGACCCCAGUCCAACCCUAGCGCCCCCACUCUUUCUCGAUCUCUCUCUCGACCGCUCGCGCCGCUCUCGGCCGCUCGCUCCUCUCUCGCCCGCCCGUCGGUCCCGGUGCGCGAGCCACCGCCGGCGCGGCGAGCCAGGGCGGAGCGGCGAUCCAGGGCGGUGCCCUGACGAGACAGCACCUUCUCCCUUCCCUCCCCUCUCCGUUUUCUCUUUGACACAGAGAGAGAGGCGCCUGCAGCGCUGUCGGGACUCCGCCGGCCGCUGGCGACGGCGAUAGGCCACCGCGCCGCGCGAGCCGCGCGCGAGCUUCUCCCUUUCCCCAUUUUCCCCUUCCACCUCACGCCUUCUUCUCAGAGAGAGAGCCACGAGCAGAGUCAAACUCUGCUCCCCCUAUGCGUUCGACGGUGGAACACCCGUUUCCGCGGCGGCCGUUGCCAUCCCAUUCGCCGGUGGCGCGUUCCCCUCGUGGUGAGCGCGCCGCCGUCGAGCGGUUUGGCGAGCGGCGCCCUUUGCCCCUCUCGGGGUGGUGUUCUUCUUCCGGCGCCUCGGCUUGCCGAUGCGCGUCCGGAUCGAGAGGAACAUGUGCGGCCAUGACGGCGGCACAACUUUUCUUUUAGGUUUCUUUGCCCUUCUAGGGUUCUUUGGGGGGAGGAAUUUUCUUUCUGUUUCUUUGAUGUAUUCUUUUUACCGAAAAUCUUCUAGCCCGAUCUGGCUACCUGAUACCAUUGAUGGACCCUUAGAUCGGAGUGGGCUAGGAGAUCCGGUGAACCUACCUUGUCCAGGUGCAGAUGAGGAACUCCCGGUGCCGGCCAUGGUGACGGUGGCCGGUGAUGGCAGGGAGUGGAUGGCGGCGGUGUGUGGGCAGUGGCGGCGGCGCAGCUUCCCGUCACUGUCGGCGCUAGACCUAGAUCGGGUCGGGGUUUUCGGUGGGGAGCCUGGCAACGCGGUGAACCUCGUACUGUGUGCCGCCGGUCCCCACCUCUAUGUAGCGCUGCGUGACAGGGGCCCGUCAACCAUAUUGUGGUUGGGCGCCCCCGAUCAGGGCGCGGAUCAGGGGUCCGUUGGGCCGUUGGGCCCACACGGGAGAGAUCAACCUAACAGUAACGACGUGUUAAACAACACGUCAACUCACAAAGCUUGCUGGGACAAUAAUCUGUAGGUUUUCCCUUGUUGAAGCACUACGCAUGCCUGUUGAAAGUAAGAUAAUUGGCAUGCAGAACAAUUAGAAAAAAAAUGAAACAAAACAUAUUUAAUUUGAGGCCAUAGUUUGAGACUAUAGUGGCUCACCGGAAUUGUCGUUGAUGGCAGAACACUGAGAUCCUUUGCUUUCCUUUAUUCUGAACUUUUGUAUUGACCCUGUAGUCCAUUGCGGCCUCAACUAUCAAGUAUUUUAGAUAUUUAUAUAGCGUAGUAGGAGCUUGUCCUGUUAUUUCAUCAUAGAAAGGAAAUCCAUAAUGUGUAUUAUAUAGUUACUUGACCAAUUUCCUUUCAAGCUUGCAGAUAUAAAGAAACCCGAUGCUAUAUAUUUCUCAAACUGGAAACACGUGCUAUAUUUAAAAUCAAAGAUGCAGUUGAUGGGUGACAGCCAUUUUUUCCUAAUUCAUUAGCUAAUACAAUAAUAACAACACAUGCUUAUUAGUUUUACAAACUGAAGGGACAAUAAUGAAUAGAAUUGCACAUGGGGAUUUGACAAAAUUAGGAAGGAUGUGAAGAUAUUAAUAAGAUAAUCUUAAUUCAGAACUGGGGGAAAUCUGACCUCACAACUGAGGGAUAUAGUCGGAUGUGAAUUCCGUAUAAAAAUAGGUUUAUUCACUUUACAAUAACUGACGGAAAUCUGAACUCAUAAGUUAAUUAUUAGUACAUGUACAUCUCAAAAUAUUAUAUAUACUCCCUCCGUUCCUAAAUAUUUGUCUUUUUAGAUAUUUCAAAUAGACUACCACAUAUGGAUGCAUAUAGACAUAUUUAGAGUGUAGAUUCACUCAUUUUACUCCGUAUGUUAGUCACUUUUUGAAAUCUCUAGAAAGACAAAUAUUUGAAAACGGAGGGAGUAGACUAUAAGAUAUUUUUUAUGAUCAUUCUAUCCUACAACUGUACAUGGCGUAAAGAAUAAUGAAGCAUCAAUUGAAUCGGUAAUCUAAAAAAUAAAAAAAACAUGGAAGAUGCAGAUGUCUAAGCAACAAUUACAUGCAAAUGUCGUACUUGAUUUUUUGUCAUGACUCAUGAGUUGUCAAUGAUUAGAUUUUUUUAUGAAGAAUCCCACAUAACAGAGAGGAGGUCUGCAAAAUGACAAAGCAUCAAUAAUCCAUCUGAUAAUAUAUUUCCUUUUAUUCCUACGCACACCCUGUAUAGCAUUACAUAUCCUUUUUACCUUCAGAUUCCACUUCCAUUUGUGCAUAUGCUUGCAGUUUAUAGAAUGCAACCAUUUGCAAAAUGAACACGUAUUAAUUGAACUGAUGUACGUCACAGAUGCCAUAUGAUGGGGUCAAACACUGUAACCUUCCUAGUUUUCCGACGGACCUUCAAGCAGUAUAGGAACAUGACUAGAGAUAACAGGGAAUGGGCUAGUACAUACGAAUCCAACAUUGGGAAGAAACUUACAUAAUAUCAGUUAUCGCCUUAUAGGUCAACGGCCUCGACUUAAUGCUUGAUGAUGCUUUCGGUACCUUGCCACCCGUAUGCUCUGGACAUCUUCUCCUCGCUGGAAUAAUUAGAAGAACAUUGUGCCUAGUCCACUUUAUGUACAGCCACCCUCCCAAUCUUCAGCUCCAACGCUCUACUUCUCUCUCUUCAUUAACCGAACCGUUCCCCCACAACUACGCAUGAAUCAACUGUCAGAUACAGAGAUUGCUUCCCCCAAUUUUACUCAAAAAAGUUGAGGAUGCAACCGUGGUUCAGACAUGCAGUACUCAUGCCUCUGGCCGGGAUGUACUGCUGCGAAUAAAGAGUGCCUAUUCAUGGUGGUAGCAGGAGGAUGUGCAAUGGCCUUCUUUGGUGACGUGGGAGGCUGAAGGGAUAGCUGUGAGGACCAGGAGUCGACCAUAGUUUCUCAAGGACGAGAGUUGCCCUAUCUGCAUCAAAAUGGGUAUAGAUAGAUAGAUAGAUAGAUAUGGUACCGAUUUCUUAACGCAAAUUUCCUACAAAUUUCGUAGUGCUUAGGAGAAGCCCUGCGAGGAUCACUUCAUCAUCACCGUCAUCACACCGUCGUGCUGACGAAACUCAUCUACUACAUUGACCUCUUGCUACAUCAAUAAGGCGAGGGACGUUACCGAGCUGAACGUGUGAAGAACGCGGAGGUGCUGUGCGUUCGGUACUUGAUCGGUUGCGUUAAGAAACGUUUCUUAAGAAAAAUAGAUAGGUAUAGAUAGAUAGAUAUGGUACUGAUUUCUCUAUGAAAAGGAAAGAAAUAUAAUUCUACACUAAUUAGUUUUAGGAAAACUCUCAAGAAAAAUAGAAGUGUUGAUAAGUGAAACAUCUCGUACCAUCUUGAGAGCUCUAAAUUUUCAAAGCACCUUUUGGCAGUGGCGGUGCCAGGAUUCAAACCUUGUGAUGUCAAGCUUUACUUAUAAUUUUUUUACAUACAAUUUAAAAUGAACCAGGAAGAUCAUACUUUAUUACAAAAGUACAAAACAUAUUUAUGGUAGCAGCUCUCCGCGAUCAUGCAUACUUUGAUAUGUAUGCAUAAUAGCAUCAGUACUAAUAGAGUGAAAUACAUCAUUUUCAACAUAAGUAAUGAGACAAUGAUACAAGAAAUCAUCACCUAUUCUAUUACGCAAAUCAGACUUGAUAUAUUUCAUUGCAGAAAAUGCUCUCUCAACUGUCGCCGUUGCAACUGGCAAAAUCAAUGCUAGCUUCACCAAAAGAAACACUAGAGGAAAACUAGUAUACUUCUUUGUUUCAACUAGUUUUCUGCAAAGAUCACUAACCCCUUUUAAAUUGGAGAGUCUUGUAUCAUCACGAACAUUUUCGAGGAAGUUGUCAAGUUGGACGCUAAGAUCUUCAAUCUUGCUUUCACUUUCAAAAUCAUCAAGAUACAGACGAGCCAUUGCUAAUACUUUAUCCUUAUCAAAGUUAGAGAACGAAUCAGAAGGAUCCAAACAAGCCAUGCCAAGAAGCAAUGUCGUGUUGCUCUCACUAAAGCGGUCAUCAAGCUCUACACAUAAUAGAUCGAUAACAGCAUACGUCACACUUUGGUAGUAAUCCUUAUUCGUUAUGCCAUCAAUCUGAGCUUUACACUUUGAUUUUGAUCCUCGAGGAAUAUGCAUAUCAUUCAUAUCUAGAAGUUGAAUAUCAUGUUUGAGGCAAAAAUGAGUAACCUUUGUAAACAUACCUUCCCAACCUUGGUUUCUCAUUUCUUGUAGCCUUCUUUUUGUUGUACAAAGAUAUGACACAACAUUCACAAUAUCUUGAUCCUUCCUUUGCAAAGCCAGAUUCAAAUCAUUAGUAAUCCCAAGUAUAACCUUCAUCAAGUGCAUCAUGAAAACAAAGUCAAAUGUAUGAAUAGCAUCAAGAACUCCUUUUGCUUUAAGCCUAUCUAGAGCUACAUCUGAUUCAGUGGUUGCCGUGAAGAAUUUGCUACAUCUGAUUCAGACCGCCACUUUUUUACGAAUUUAUCCAUUUACUGACAUGACGACCUGACAAAAAAAUGAUAGUGCUAUGAAAAAUGAGAUCCAAUUAUUUCUUUUUUCUGGAAGUUUUCUUUUCAUUUGUUUUGGAUUUAACAAGAUCCAUUUUUCUUAAUGAAGAUUGAAGAGCAAUCUAUAAAUCUAUAAUAUCAUAGUUCCUACUUCCUAUACAGCUCGUAAAAGAUAAUAAUUAGAAGAGAAAAAAACUUACAAACGGGAGGGGUUCUCGUUCUGGUGUUGGAUGCGAUGCCAAUCACUAUCAAUACAGGUAUAGUGUACAGCAAUACCGGAUGCUGACGGACGCCGCCGGCGUCGACGGGAACGGUGUGUCACUCGCUCCUCAUGGCUAAGAUCGCUGACGCCUGACGGAGAACAUGACGAUUGGCGAAGCUGCGGCGGCCGGCGGCUGUGCACGGACAAUGGUCAUGGAGGCUGUGGAGGACCGAAGGAGUAGAUGGAAGCAAAGUCAAACCGUCAAAGAGGAGAUCACGGGAGCCCAGGCUUACACGUUGGCAAACCACACAUGCUCUAAUGCACCAGCUCCCAUUGAAUUUUUUUAGCCCAGCCAAAUGUCACACAAAGCUAAUACGGCUGGCCGACUGGGCCUUUACGUAGUCAUACAUUACCUGGGGUAGUUAACUUACUGUGUAGUCGCUUGACUACAUGGCCACAACGUGGCUUCGCCUCUGCCUUUUGGGUUACACGUGCAGCUGUUUUUGAGAGCUCUCCCAAUUAGAGAAGAGCAUAGGCUGGGCUGCACGUGCAGCUGUUUUUGGGAUUUUUCUUGGGACUGCAUCUUAGGUUGCUCCUGUCCAUCACUAAUGUGCACAACGCAGAACCAAAAAAAUGUUGGGAAUCGUUGGAUGAAAAAUAAAAAAAAUUCUACGCACACGCAAUGAUCUAUCUAUGGAGAUUCAUAGCAAUGAAGGGGAGAGUGUGUCUACGUACUCUCAUAGACUGUAAGCAGAAACGUUUCUUAACGCAACCGAUCAAGUAUCGAACGCAUAGCACCUCCGUGUUCUUCACACGUUCAGCUCGGUAACGUCUCUCGCCUUAUUGAUCUAGCAAGAGGUCAAUGUAGUAGAUGAGUUUCGUCAGCACGACGGUGUGAUGACGGUGAUCAUGAAGUGAUGUCGCAGGGCUUCUCCUAAGCACUACAAAAAUAUGACCGGGGGUGUAAACGGCGGAGGGGGGGCACCGCACACACGGCUAAACAAUUGUCUGGUGUGUGCUAGGUGAUGAAGUCAUGUACCUGGGGUAGGGUCAUAGACCUGUCCAAGGUACCCUCCCCGAGGACAUCUUUAAUUAGAAGAAUCCGUCUUCCAGUCGACCAAGAGGGACUCCACUCGACGGACGAGAAGACACUCGACAAACCUGAAGACACUCGAUCAUGAAGACUCACUCGACCACUAGGAGUUCAAGAUCUACUCUGUAUCGAAACGGUCUGUAAUUAAGUAGUCUUUAUGAUCAUGAUGACACUUUAUGUAGGGCGUUACCAAUAACGUCCGACCUUAAUGUACUUUAAACCCUCCGCUACGUGGGCUGGCUGGGGUCUUGGCAUCCACUAUAUAAGCCACCCCCUUCCACUGGCAGAAGGGUUGGCACCCCUGUAACUCUCACACAUAUAAUCCAGUCGACCGCCUCCAGGCUCCGAGACGUAGGGCUGUUACUUCCACAGAGAAGGGCCUGAACUCGUAAAAACACUCGUGUGUACAACUACUCCAUAGCUAGGAUCUUGCCUCUCCUUAGUACCCCCUACAUUACUGUUAGACUUAGAACCACGACACUAGGCGCCCCAGGUAGGCGGAGGGGAGAGGCCAGGAGGCACCCCAAGUAGGACCGAAUCCUACUUGGGCUCCUCCCUAGUCCCCCCCCCCCCCAUCCGAGGGUAAUAACAAUGCCACUAAGACAAUGUUUCAUAGAAAACUUCACUAUUUUUAUUUUUUUAGUUCUUAUAUUAUUUUCUUUUUUAAGGGUAAUACAAACACUAUUCAUUCAUUCAUUAGAAAAUUUCUUGUUUUGUGGAAAUUUCCAUUUUCCUUCUUAAAAGCUUAUUUUUAUUUCAGUCUUGCUAAGUCUCAGUCGACUGAGAUUUAGUUAAGUCUCAGUCGAUGCUAUAUCUGUGAGAUCUUAUAUUAAGAUCUGUGCAAUUUCUUUUUUCAGUUUUUCCUUUUCUCUUUAGCAUGUUAUUUCACUUGACCGAGACUUGGUUAAAUCUUAGUCGACUGACAUCUAGUCACACCCUAUUUCCAUUUAAAUAAGGGUCGGUCGACUUAGACUUAAACAUACCCUUACACUUUUACAAUUUGCAUUUUACCGCGGAGCGAUGUGGCCUGCUCCUGGACGACCUUCCAGGCUUCACGGACAUGGCGGUCCUCGGUGAGGGUGCUCCCGACGGCGCACCGGAGCAUGUAUAUGCCACCUGCAUUGGCGGCGCUCAUGUAGGGGCCCAAGGUGGCAGUGUUCACCUCCUCGAGGAGCCUGCGGUUGAGCUCGUUGGCCUUUUUCUCGCCGCCUAGCCGCUCCGUAGGGAGAAGACGGAAGCACACGAGCGCGAAGUGCCUGUCGGUUACCACCUCGAACCUGGCGUCGCCUCUUACGAGUUCCUCGAACGCGGCUGCCAUGCGGAUGUGAGACCGGAUGUGGUCGCGGAGGCCGUCGACGCCAUAGCAGCGGAACACGAGCCACAUCUUGAGCGCGCGGAAGCGGCGGGUGAGCGUCAUCGUCCAGUCCUUGUAGUCCACCACGUCGUGCCCCUCCGCAGCGGCGUCCUUGAGGAUGUACUCCUGCUCCGUGCCUAGGGCCGCCACGAGCGCCGCCGGCUUCUUCACCCACAAUGCACAACAGUCGUUGUUGGCCAGCAGCCACUUGUGUGCGUUCAUGCUGAAGGAGUCUACUGCCUCAACUCCGUCGACCACGUGGCAGAAUUCCGGGCAGACCAGCGCCGAGCCUGCGUAGGCCGCGUCGACGUGGACCCAGAGGCCAUGCGUUGCCGCGACGGCGCAGAGCCCACGGAUGGGGUCGACGGCGGUGGUCUGGGUGGUGCCGACCGUUGCGCAGAGGAAGAGUGGCACCAGCCCUGCGUCCACGUCUGCCUGCAUGGCGGCCUUCAGUGCCGCUGGCGAAAGAGCGAACAUGUCGUCAAGUGAUGUAGGGAUCUCGCGGCAGUAGCCGCGCUGGAUUCCAGCGAUACGCGCCGCUUUGCGGAACGAGAAGUGCGUCUGGUCUGAGCAGUACACGACGAGGUCGCCGAUCCUCCCCCAGCCAACCUCCGCGAGCUUCCGGUCCCUAGCGGCGACAAGGGCGCAGAGUAUGGCCUCGCAGGACGUACCCAGCAGCGUGCCUCCGCCGCCUCCGGCGAACAGAAGGCUUGCUGGCAGGUGGAGCGCCUUGCCGAGCCAGUCCACAACGACCAUCUCGAGCUCCGCGGCGGCAGGCGAGGCGGCCCAUGUGAACGGCACGACGUUGAUGCCGGCGAUCAGCGCCUCGCCUAGGGCACCGGCGGUGCUGCUCGACGCUGGGAAAUGAGCGAAAUGGCGAGGGCUCUGCCAGUGCGUCAUUCCCGGCAGGAUGAGGUCGCGGAUGUCCUGCAGCGCGGAGGCCCAGGCGUCGGGCUCCGGCAUGGGCGGCGCGUCGGUGGGGAGCUGGUCGCGCAGGAAACCAGGGGUGACAUUCGGGCGGACUGGGUGGUCUCCCAUGCCGGACCAGUAGUCGGCGAUGAAGUUGAUCACCUGUUGACCCUGACGCCGGAACUCAUCGGCGUCCAGCAGGUUCACGCACCGAGGUGGCGACUCGGCAGAAGGAUUCUGCUUGAGCGUGCCAGCAGUCAUGGUUUUGCAUAUCGGGGAUGCAGGCGCCAUACUCUCUAUAGUUGCUAGGUAGUAUGGUAGAUCUCGAAAACAUGAACUAGCUAUUAAUACAAGGAGGCUGAUCACAUGCCGGAGACCAGUUCAAAACAGAAGUAGACAUAGUGUAGGAACAUAUCAUAGAAUAUUACAAUAACAAAAAUUUGGUGAAAAGGAUAUCGGAUUUUCUAGUGUUCUAGAUCUUGAAAAAGAUUUUCAUUUUUCUAGUUUUCUUUUCUUUAUUUUGUGAAGCGAGAGCAAAUAAUUUGGAGAAAAAGAUUUCGAAUUUUCUAGUUUUCUAGCUACUUUUGCACUAAAAGAAGAUCAUAUCUAGUAAUUUAAAUUUGGUCGACAAGUGUACUCUAGUUUGCUCCUAAAUAUUUCCAAAAAUGUUAUUAAGGUAGCCAAGUAGGGUUUUAUGGAAUAGACAUUGAGGAUAUGAAAGAAUCAUGUUCUAUGAAUAUAUCUGCCGGUGCUUUUUACCUUAUUUUGAAAAAAAAAACAAAUAAAAUGAAGAAAAUAUUAAAAAAACACAAACCUUUGUCAUGGAAUCCUUUUAUGUCUAGUGCUUGCUCGGAAAAAUGAUAAACUUGAAUUUUACAAAUUAAAAAAACACCCUAAAAAUGCCCUAUCGUGAAUGAACAUCAAUGUCUUAAUUUGAAGCCAAAUAAUCAAUCUGAUGAUUAUAUCAAUGGAAUAGAUCAUGAUAAUGUGCCCUUUUUGGCACAAUGGUGCAUAUCGGCAGGCCAAACAAUAUGUCCAAAAGCAGUUUCUAAAUUUAUACUUAAAUAGAUUUUUUUUUCAUUUGGAAAUGCCAAAGUGGAGAUUUUUGUGAAGCAAGUACAAAUAAUACAUGUUGAAAAUGGCACUUCUCGAAUUUUUACAGAAAGUGGACCAUAGUAGAAGGAACAAUGCCCAGAGAUUUUUAAUUCUCUAUUUUGUAUCUACUUUUUUCAAUUCUAAGUGAAUUUUAACAGAUUUCCUAAAAUUAAUUCAAAUUUGAAAUACAAGUGUGCUAUAGUUUAGUCCUAGAAAUUGAAAAAAAUCAUGUUAAGGUACCCAAAUGGUAUUAUAUGUGUGGAAUUAUUGAAUAGAUUUGCCUGUGAUUGUAGCCCCAUUUUGGAAAAUCAAAGAAAAAUAAAGAAAAUGAUAUCCUUUCGCAUUGGGUCCAUUUAUGUAUACUAGUUGCCAUGAAAAGUGAUACACUUCGAUUUCGACAACUUCUCGAAUACGCUUGUCCUUUUAAAUUGAUCAAUUUUGUAGAAAAAUAUAUCAAAAUCCAUAAUAUUAAAUUGGUGUGAUGUGAUUCAUCAUGAAAUAAAUUUCCAUAAUAUUUUGUUCAAUAUUGAGAUGUCGAUAUUUUUUGCUUUGAACUUUGGUCAAAGUUAAAAAAAUCGACUUUCCAAAAAAAAUGAUACCCCUUAUAUUUUAGAACUAAUGGAAUAUUUAGUUUGGAGCAUGGGGGAGAUGAUGGAGUUUUUUUUAUUUUCAGUUAUAAUGUGAUGAUUUGAUGGGCCUUUUGUGGUGUGGUUCUGUGUUAUCCACUAACUAAUGUAUAUUUAUGUGGGGAAAUUUGUGCAUCGGUGACUGCAUGUACUAUACUUUUGUUAGAAAAAUAUGUACUAUAUUUUUGCUACAGUAUCACAUGGUGACGCUUCUUUUCUCUAGGUGGAGGGAAGGAGCGUGGGAUUGAUGUAUUUUUAUAGGCCGGUUGUUGCUGAUUAAUUUCAAAAAUCAUUGGCCUGGUCAAAAUCAUAAACCAAAUCCAAAUUUGAAUAUCUCAAUUGGAUGAAAGAUCUUUGAAAUGGGAACACGGGGAAUUAAAAGAAUUGAAUGAGAGGGCCCUUGAGAAUUGUUGACCCUGUCAAAAUCGGGCUGAACCAAUUCUAAAUUGAAGAUCUGAAUUAAUUGUGAGGUCUUAAAAAUUAGGAAGCAUAGUGUAUAGCAUAAAUGAAUUCAAUGAGAUAGCUUUGAGAAAUUGUUGACUCGGUCAAAAUUUGGUCACCCAAUCUCAAUUGGAGACCUUAAUUGAAUGUAGGCUCUUUAAAAUUAGGGAGCAUAGUGUUAUAGAGGAUCCCUAUCGUGGUAGGUAAGACUUGUCUUCGAGCUACAACAUUGACCCUGACUUUUCAUACAUAUAUGCCAAUGGAACUUCUAAAAUUUGCAUUUUGAAGAUGUCUUACCACGUGGUAAUCUAAUAUGGCAGCGUUAUGAAAGAUCAAGAUAUGUUUGUUGACUGUUGAACUAUAUCACGUUGUCCUUACUUUACGAUAUGUCAUGGAAAACUCACUGAAGAAAUAGAUUAUUACGUACACUACUGGAAUUCGACACUUUGCCUACUGUAUGGUCCUUUAUCGAAUUCGUUUUACCAGAAACUCAAACUGAGCUGUUUUUCAAGUCCUAGUUAGCUACACUCGGUGAAGAAAAGAAAAUCACUCGCCAAAAUAUGGGAAAAAAAGCAAUGGACAAAGAAAAACACUCGGCAAAGAACAACACUCGGAAAAGGUGGUGGUCCAGUGUCCCAGCUCAAUGUGGAUUACAGAAAGCAGACCCGCAGCCUAUUUGCCGAGUGUCCCUUGGCACACACUCAACAAAGGUUGUCUUUUUUCCACCGGCUCAUUUUGCAUAACUUAGUUCAUGAUAAACAGUCCAUAUUUGUCACACAGUUGCAUCUUACCAAGACAAAUAAUAUCACCAAAAUGAGUUUCUAACUUUUUGUUACAAAAUAAUCUUAUUUUUCUUUUCAUUUUCUAAGUGUCAAAGUUGGUUUUCUGAAGCAACUGCAAAUAUACAGUGGAAAGAGGCACUUCUCCAAUUUUCAUACCAGGUAUACCAUAAUCGAUGGAAAAUUGCGGAACAGUUUGAAUUUUCUAACUUUCUACCUACUUUCACGUAUUUUAAUGAAUUUUGACUGAUUUUCUAAAAAUAAUUCAAAUUUGAAAUACAAUUGUGUUAUAGUUUGCUCCAAAAAAUUCCCCAAACCCAUUUUAAGGUACCAAAAUAGGUUUUAUGCAAUUGACAGAGGGUGUUGAACGAUUCAAGCCACUAUUCUAGAAAGAUGUGCCGGCCAUAUUGGCCCGGUUUUGCAAAAAUGUCAAAGAAAAUCGCUGCAAGGGAAUCCCCCCAUGGAUGUGACCAACAGUUCUUGACGUGUCUAAAAUCCCUGCAAGGGAAUCCGCCAAGAAGGUCUAGCCCUUUCUAACUUGCAGUUUAUUUCGAAAGAAAGGUCUAGCCCCCUCGUUAAUGGGCAUCGCUAUCUGGCCCUCGUAAACCAGUUGCGUAAGUAUAUAUGAAUAAAAAUAUAAAAUCAGACUAGCAGCUCUUUUUUAUAAGCACCUCCCGCAAGAAGGCCCGGCUAUAAGUGGUCAUACGCUAUAAGUUCAUGACAACCGCCACCAGAGUUUUUCUUUUCAAUUCAUGAAUGAUCUCAUGUAACCCAAGUUCUCCAUCAUGGAUCAAUCUACCUUUAAUGAAAGCCGUCCAUCAUGUAAAUGCGGUUAGCAAACGCUUUUGAAAUAAGUUUAAAAAUUACAUUGAUACGCCCGCGAUCGGGCAGAACUGCUUGAUCGAACCUUGCGUACGAGUGAUAGAAUGGCGAAGUUUGCAUUGCAUUGCAUCUGAGUCAAUCCGUACGACUUGGACUGAAACUGAGCGUUCCGACUUUAUUUCUUCAGGUAACAGGACAUUUUAUAUUUCAUGAGAACAGACGACACAAUAAAGGACAAAUAUUUGGUCGGUGCAUGUGUCCCUGAACAUGAGUCCUGGCUUUAAUCAAUCCAAGGAGUGACAGGUCAACUGGAAUGCCGCGACGUGAUCAUGCGCAAUGGUCAUGUAGACGUCGACGCCGCCCUUGGCCACGCACGAGGGCACGAAGACCAUCAGCCCCUCGACCGGCAAAUCGGGCGGCUGGAACGCGGCCGGUGGCCCGCCGCCGAAGUCAACUUGGUGGAAGCUGAACCCCAGCCAGCUGUCCACCUCCAUGUUCGGGCAGGACAUCAUGCCGGCUGUGCCCGUGAGCUCCUCCCCGUGCGCGUCAGCUACGGCCCCGAAGUCCACGAACGACCGGAUGUACUCGCCGUUGAUGCGUGCCACGGCGUCGCGAAUGGCGCCGACCACGCCGCCGUAGCUCCAGCCCAGGACGUCCCGGACCUGGAGCCUCGGGAACGCCCAGAGCACCAUGUUGCCGAAGAAGUCCAUGGGCACGGGAGGGUCGGCCCUGCCCCUGCAGUUCACGGCCACCCUCACCUGCGUGAACUCCUCGGGCGCGAGGCCGCGUGCCGCCGUGGUCCUCUUCCACAGGUGAGCGAGCAGGCACUGGAACGUGCUGCAGCGGGCGCCUACCCGGGCCUUGAGCUCGGCGAUGAACUCGGCGGUGAAGCGCACCGUGAUAUUCUUGAACUUGAACAGGGGGACGGCGGGAUCUUCUCCCUUGAACUCGGUGGACCGGUGGUCGAACACCGGCACGGGCACGCUCCGUGGCACGGCGGUGAUCGCCCGCUCGAGGAAAGCGGACGGCGCGGUGAAUUCCCAGCCCUGGCGAACCGCGCUCGCCCAGGUGGUGAGGAAGGUGCUCAUGGAGUGGCCGUCGGCGGUGUGGUGGUGGCAGGAAAGGCCGAUCGCUAGGCCGCCGCACUUGUACCGGUUUAGCUUGAUCUGCAGCAGCGCCACGUCGAAGUGCUCCUAUAAAUAGCGCAUGCAUAAUUGCAGAUAGAUCAAGCUAACUGCAUCCGGUAGCACGUGCAAACAAACCGAUGGUAGCCGUAAUUAGUAUUACCUCCGGUAGCGGCCGCGGAGGGUACAGACCCUCGGAGUUGGCGACGACGCUGCCGUUGGCCAAAACGCUCGACAGAUCGACGGGGACGGCGGCCUCUACGACAAGUACGCCCUCGUCGUUGAUGCGGAGGCAACGCCUGCCCCGGUGGUCGACGGCCAGGCGUCCUGCCAGGUGAGGGUACAGCGCGACGGCCCGGCGCAGGCCCUCCUUGAGCGCCUCGUUGGACGGAGCUGGCGCGGGGUACGCGAGGAUGAUGGGAAUGAAGAUGUCGAAGGUGGCGCGGUCGAAGAGCGUCAGUGGGACCAUCUCGCCGGCGAGAGGGUGCGGCGUGGGGUAGAACGGCUUCAGCAUCGUGCUGCUCCGGCUUGUCAUCUCCAUUUCGAAUUGCCCGUAGGUAGUGAACGCAUGCAUGUACAUACAUAUAGAGCAGCAGCGACGAAAAAAAAACCCCCCGAUAUUCUGCAGGCGAAGAUCCCCUUCCACAACAAACAAAAUAAAUUAGUUCAAAUUAGUAAGGGCAUCUCCAACGGCAACCCGUAAAUUUCCUCCCGCAUCCAUCUGCGGACAAGGGGAUAAGUCCGCGAACACGGAUGCGGGAGGAUGUCAUCCAGCCCUAGCCGCAUACAUUCGGCCAACCAGUGGUUGAGCUUGUGUNNNNNNNNNNNNNNNNNNNNNNNNNNNNNNNNNNNNNNNNNNNNNNNNNNNNNNNNNNNNNNNNNNNNNNNNNNNNNNNNNNNNNNNNNNNNNNNNNNNNNNNNNNNNNNNNNNNNNNNNNNNNNNNNNNNNNNNNNNNNNNNNNNNNNNNNNNNNNNNNNNNNNNNNNNNNNNNNNGUGGUUGGCCCCAUGAAGCUCCGCAACUACGGCCAACAAUUCAAACAAACCUUACAAAAUUCGAUCAAACUGGACGGAUUUCAUUCGAGUUCGGAUAUAAUUUACAUAAAAAGAUCGAUAUUUCGCCGUCUAAGUAAAAAACUAGAAAAAUCCCUAAACUUUAUACCGGACGACCACCUCGUACGCCUGACCACCCUACCCUGCUGCACCGUCGUGUACGUCGGUGCCGUCGUCGUCGUGGUCCCCCCCGCAGCGGAACAACGCCGGAGGGUCGCGACAGCCUUGUCCGCCGGCUGCCUGCCGCUCGCGGAGGAGCCGCCCCGCCUCCUGCUACGCCGUGCGGAGUGCCACCAUGGCCACUACCAACGUGGCCUUUGGAGCCCUGGUGGCGGCCUUGCCGUGACCGGCAUUGGCGGGGAAGUCUCUAAGCAACCACUUCUCCCCGAUCUUGGUGAGCUCGUCGUCAAGGCUGCGGCAAACGCCUGGCGGCCGUGUCCGCGGUGUUCACGGAGUGGCCAGCGCCCAUGCGACAGCGAGGUCUGGGUCAUUGCGGACCCAGUCCAGCGCCACAUCGCUCUUGCCAAACGCGGAGCGGCAACUGGCAUUGUGCCGGUCGUACCUCUCCUGCUGCCGAGCCAUGCACUCCGACUUAGACACGACGUCCCUCGACCCCAGGGACUACACCUGCUCCGAGGUAGUGGAGGAGGUAGUGGAGGAGGUGGCCCCGCGCCUUCUUGAUCGCAGGUAACAGUUCCUCCUUGUUGGCGAGGCGGUGGCAGCGCGGCGAUGACAACGGCGCAUCGAUGUGGCCAUACUGGCGGCGUAGUUGGGACGCUGGCUCCUCCAUGAACCGGCGUCUGCUCUGGACGCCACAGUGGUGUAGGAGAGACCGGCUCCUCCUUUACGCGUCGUUUGAUCUGAAUGCCAUGGUUGUGCCGGGGCGAGGCCUGUUCCUCCUUCACUGGCAGGAGCGUGGACGCCAGCUCGGGCUUCACGCGCUCGCACGUUGGGGACAGUGGCUCCUCCUUCACGCAGGUUGGCGAUGAUGGUGACAGCCCCAUGAAACGGUGCCACCACUCUGUCAUUAUAUCGAUCUGACGGAGGAAAUCUUCGUCUAUCACAACGGCCUCCUUGAGGUGUUGGGACAGUUGCGGCGGUGGUUCCUGCGACCACCGCUAUGGCGCCUGGAUCUCUUUUGUCACCGAAUGAGAUGACAGUCUCCUCCUUGGCGGAGGAGCCGGCCGCCAUGGACGCUGACGAACAUGGAGAGCAUGGCGGCGGCACCAGGAAUGGUCGGCGGAAUAGCCUCCGCCUACUCCGCCUGCUGGUGCGGAGCACCAUGACAUCGACAUCGCUUGUGCUUGGGUGGAAGAGGGGCAGGGAGGGGCUCGGGAUGGAGACGGGGGAGGGGAGUGGCCGGUGCUCGGGGAGGGGGGUGCGCCUCUAUGCAUCGCCGGCGCAUGGUUUAAAUAGCCGCGUCGAGGCCUAGGUGAAGGGGCGGUCCGCUUCAAUGCGGCGCAGCAGCCGGAGUUUGUUCCUCGGGAAUCUGCAUCCGCAAACGGCGGCCGCGUCGGUCCGCGCCGUCCUCACUUCAUCCAUCAAUGUCGGCCGCUGCGUGCUUUGGGCCGGCAUGAAUGUGGCGCGGAAAGCGGCGCGCGCAUCAAAAGAAAAGCGCGGGNNNNNNNNNNNNNNNNNNNNNNNNNNNNNNNNNNNNNNNNNNNNNNNNNNNNNNNNNNNNNNNNNNNNNNNNNNNNNNNNNNNNNNNNNNNNNNNNNNNNNNNNNNNNNNNNNNNNNNNNNNNNNNNNNNNNNNNNNNNNNNNNNNNNNNNNNNNNNNNNNNNNNNNNNNNNNNNNNNNNNNNNNNNNNNNNNNNNNNNNNNNNNNNNNNNNNNNNNNNNNNNNNNNNNNNNNNNNNNNNNNNNNNNNNNNNNNNNNNNNNNNNNNNNNNNNNNNNNNNNNNNNNNNNNNNNNNNNNNNNNNNNNNNNNNNNNNNNNNNNNNNNNNNNNNNNNNNNNNNNNNNNNNNNNNNNGGAAAAAUCAUGUUUGGACUGACAUGCGAACCAGUACAGGAUCGUGUUGGAUGGCUACCACGGUCCGAACAACGCGGUCCAGACAUUUGCGGGAGGUCUGCUGGUCCAAUGCCCUAAGGACAUAUAACGAUAAUGUCUGUCGAGCAUUACGAGGACCAACGUCUUCAUCGAGUGUCGACAACUUUGCAGGGUGUACUUUUUUCACACACUCGGUAAAGCCACUGACCAAAACUUGGUGUGAGAGAAAACACUCAAUAAAUCUACACAUCCCUAAGAGGUAAUAUCACUAGAAGUCUUAGAAAACUUGUAUUCGAUGUUCAGUUUUGUUCUAAAAUUUGCAAAAUAUGAAAUUGUGGUCAUAUAACUUGCCUUCGCGUUCAAAUAAGGUGCGUCCUCUCGUACCGGGACGUAUGGCCUGCUUACGUGGCCUGCCAGCAUAGGCCCAUCUGUAAGUGGCUCGAAGUUUUUUUUGCAGAUAACUCCCUUGCAUUUGAUUUAAUUGCGUACAAAAUCUGCCAAUUUAUAAUAAAAUGAAAAAAGAUGGUGAUGUUGUGGGUCGAAAAUACAAUCCGCCGCUAACCGUCUAGCAUGGACAACCACCAGAACGAAGUGUUUUGAAGUUUAAAUUGCACAAUUGUACUUUUUUUUUGAGGGGACACAAUUGUACUUUAUAUAUGUACUUUGAGAAGUAGGAUUGCAGAUAUGCCGCAAAGCAUCGUACAAUUUUUUCACGUCCAAUUGUUGCUCAGGUUUCUUCAUGUCCUCCGUUCCACACCGAGUCUCAUGUUUUUAAGUUCUAAACAAGUAUAUAUAUUUGCAUGGCAUUUGUAUCUCCCUACAAAGUUUAUUAUCUCCAUUUAAAUAGGGCAGAAGCCUAAUCACAUUGUUCUUUUUUUAAGUAAGUCUUCUCAGGCGGCAUCAUGUGCCGUUGGGUAUUAAUAUAGCUAGCAUGGCGUCUCAAUCGACAGUCAGCAAGAUAUGAGAUCAUGCAUGGGACUAAUAUCACACAACUUUGAAUGAUUCGACUGCAAGGUAGAAGGUACAUUCCAAUAAUUGGUUGGCCCUGAUACAUGGUGCAUGAAGUAGUACUAUAAAUGUUUUAAACACUGAUGCACUAUGCAUUUAUUACACAACAAACGGGAACAUGAUAGAUGGUCAUAUAUAUAGGAUUAUGGAGCACGAGCAAGUUAUAUGUAGAGUUCAAUGACCGAUCGCACCCCUAGGAUAGGUCGAAUUUUGUAAUUCACAAAUCCUGCUUCCGUGAAUAUCUUGUUCCAGUCUUGCUCAUAUCGUUCUUUGGCCAUAAAUAAUGACAUCAUUUGCAUAUCCAUCAAGAGCUGGGCUUCGAGUAUGUUCUGCGAGCUAGAUCCAACCACUUCAUCGAUGAUGAUGACCUUCCCUUCUUUUUCUCCGUGGGCAAUGGCCUCUCUGCAUCGUGUCAGGAUCUUCACGCAAUCCUCGUCGCUCCAGUUAUGCAGCACAUACUACCAAUCCAACAACAAAUUAAGAGCUUCAGCUAGAUUAAGGAGUACAUUAUUUGCUAAAUUACUGCUCAUAAUUCGUAUAUAUAAGAAAACAUGUGUGCCUUUGUAGUCAUAUAGGAAUGAUAAUACCUUAAGUAAAAUGCGAUCAGCAGGUGGAAUGAACUCCAUCAUGUCCCCAGCAACAAACUCCACAUUGUCGGCCUGAGCCGAGACGCCUUGGAUCACAUGUGGGAGGUCAAGAACUGAGCACUUGACGUGUGGGAAGGCCUUGGUAAUGGCCCUCGCCAUCGUACCAGUCCCGCCGGCGACGUCGACCAGCGAGGUUAUCCCGUCGAACACCUCACCACACUCACGGACCACGAGGUCGGCCAGGUACCGGCUGUCGGCCGCCAUGGCCUCGUUGAACACCGAGUUAAACUCGGCGUCGUGGGCAGCAACGCCAUAGGGGGGCCGGCCGUUGGCCAUCACGAACGGCGUGGCCUCGCCGUCGCUCUGGAACCACUGCCCCAGCUGCAGGGCGGAUCCAACAAUCUGCCGCGUAGUAGUCAUGAGAAUGCACGACGACAGCUUCCACGCGCUGCCGCCGUUGAUGCCAGCGUCGUUGACGAGGAGGCGAGACAUUGUGUUUAGGUGGUACACGCAGGUCGCCCCGUCGCCGCCGUUGGCGACAGCCACACCCUCCUCGGCCACAAAGAUUCCUUCCGUGGCUAGCACCUUCAUGAGGCGUGACAAGUAGGGCUGUUUGCUUGGAGGGAGGGGGAGGGUGGCAAGCAGGUCGGGCAAGGAGGCGCUGCCACCACAACGGUGGAGAGCAUCAGCAACUCCAAGCUUGACAGCACUGUGCAAUGCC